AAUCCCCUUUCUCAUACUCUUCCCAAGUAUGUUUGGGGAACCAAUCCAUGCUCUCAUUAGAACCAACUUUGGCAUUCCUCCUCCUCCCAACUAUCUCAAACAACAGCAUCCCAAAGCUAUAAACAUCACACUUAUGGGUUAUGGGAUGGUUUUUCAGUAAAAAUUCUGGUGCUGAGUAGCCUGGAGUCCCUCUAUAUCCUGAGACUGUCAGGUGGGUGCCGUCCCUGUUACAAAGCUUAGCAAGCCCAAAGUCUGCAACCUUAGGAAAGAAGUUAGCAUCAAGAAGAAUGUUACCGGGUUUUAUGUCAUAGUGAAUGAUUCUUUCUACACAUUCUUCAUGUAAGUAAGCUAUGCCCUUUGCUGUCCCAACUGCUAUAUGAUGCAGCUUCUCCCACUCGACUUCUUGUGCCUCGCUGAACAAGUACUUGUCCAGGGAUCCAUUUUCCAGGUAUUCGUAGACAAGUGCGCUCAUGAACUGAUCAUAGCAGAAACCAUAGAGCCUGACUAGAUUGAUAUGGUAAGUCCUGCCUAUGGUUCCCACCUCUGCCAUGAACUGUUCUUCAGCUUGUCUGUCUGGACUCCUAUUCAGGACCUUCACUGCAAUCUUGACCCCAUUGGGGAACUGCCCCUUGUAAACCAUUCCAAACCCUCCAGAACCCAGUGUUGUGGUGUAGUUAUCAGUGAAGCUGCAUAGCUGCUGAGCAGUGAACCUGACCGGCUUCUCCCUCGCUAAUUCUUGGAAGAACUUCUCCAUUGUUGGUGUAUCAACCUCCCAAACCUGUAUCGUAUUCACAGGUGGGGGAGCCACUGCCGCUUGCAAUUCUGUCACAAUAGCCUUCUUCGCUUUCCUUGCACAAACGAGAGAGAUAACAGCGAUAAUUCCAAGCACCACCAAGCUCAAUAUUACGGCUGCAAGUCAUGGGAGUUUGAACCAGUAAGAUCCCAACUUCAAACUGUUGUCUGUCAAUAUCGAAUUCCUUCGUAUUAUUGUCGCAGAAAGAACUUACCUCCUGCUGUAAUCCCAGAGUUGUUGCUUGGAGGAGAGUAGUCAUAUGAAGACAUCUACAAAGGUAGCAAAAUGGACCAAGUUAGAUAGGACUAUACAAUUCUCUAUUCAGUCAAGUAUAGAUAUAGAUUUUGUUUACAAAUCUCGCUGGCACCUUGGCUAGGUGAGCAAUUAAUUAACCAAAAAUUUCUUCAUUAGUUCAAGGUUUUGUGCAGUGCAGGCGUAUCAUACAUGACCCUUUAACAUACUAAGAACAAUCAAGUUAGUGAACUCACCCUCUUCGGAAGAUCACUCCUUGCUUUUCACCACCAGAAAUUGCAGCACAGCUUCUCUUUGCUCUUUGCUUCCUCCCAUUGCCUUUGUAUAUAUAUAUAUAUAUAUACAUGUAUUUGAGGGAGGAAGUUUUGGGGAAAUUUCUGUCAUAGGCCUUCAACUUGGUAGUCAACAAGGGGAAGGGAAAGAUCUACGGAACCUCUCUCUUUCACUAUCAAAUUCAAAGUGAAGAAGGAAAGAAAUUUCUCAAAAAAUUAUUUUAAUGGUAUGGAUUAUUAUGCCUAUGAGGGGAAGUUUCGGAAAAAUUCCUGCCAUUGACCUUCACGGUUGCAUUCAAAGAAUCAAAAAAUAAGAUAGAUAAAGGCAAGGAGAGAGCUACACCACCUUCGGCAAUGACAUGGAUUGGUAUCACGAAAUUUUUUAGAAAAGUCACUGACAGGCUUAAUUGCAAGGAGAUAUGGGAACUAAAUACAAGAGAAAUAUAAAUUUGUAAAAAAAAUUAUUAAUAUUUUUAAAUAUAAAAAUAUCUUCAUAUAUUAUCAUUUCUUUUAUAUCUUAAAUACAAAAUAAAUUACAUUUUAGUAUGUUUUCAAAAUUUUCAUAUUAUUACUAAGUACAGAAAUUUAUAUUAUACAUGCAUUAUUUUAUUUAAAUUCAAUAAAUAUAUUAUUACUUAUUUUAUUAUUUGCAAAGUUUUUUUAACAUUUAUAUGAGUUUUGAUUAAUUUUCAUAUAUUUUUUGUAACAAUAUUUCCCAUAUAUCCGAAAUAUCUAUAAAAUUUGACUAUUAAUAUAUAUGAGAAAACCAAUUUUUCAUUCUUAUUAUUAGAACGCAUAUGUAUUUUCUAAUUUUAUCUUUUAUUAUUAUUUUAAAUUUUAAAUUAUUAACUCUUUACUUUUAAUUUUUAAUUCUUAAUCUUUAAUUUUUAACGUUUAAAAUUUUAAAUUUCUAUUUUAUCUCAUUUGGGUAUAGUUCCUAUUUUUUAUUUUUAAAAUCAAAGCAAUAAUAACCUAUAUAUAAAAAAAAGUAAAAACUCUUUUACAAAAAAUAUAUAUUUAUGUUAUAUCUUCAAGAAUUUCUUUUAAAAAUAAAAAUAAAAAUUUCAGAUAGUAAACAUUACUUGUUAACGUAAGCUUCUAAAAGUUAUAAUAUAAAAAUUAUUACUAUUUUCUAUUUUUAAAAAUUGAAACAUGAAGCAUUCAAACAUAUACUAAAUUUUUAAUUUUUUAAAUAUUUAAUAAUAAUAAUAAUAAUAAUAAUAAUAUUUAGUAAUAAAUACAUAUAGGUCUAUUGAUAUUUAAUAGGCCGGCCACUAACCACCCAACCUAUUGAAUGCUGAUUGGGAUAUAUAUAUAUAUAUAUAUAGGUCUUUGUUGACCGGGUAUUAGAAGAAGUGAUGAUAUCAAUGCGUUGGCUAAGUUUGGUAGAGGAAAUUUCCUUGUUAAAUGUGGUAUUUGAAAUGCCACUCCCACCUUUCUCUUUCACCGUCAAGUGGAGAAAGAAAGAAAAGAAAGGACUAACAAGAACUUAAUGGUAUUUGGCUAUUUGCAGGGAUUUAGCAUGGUCUUCCCAUGAGCUCUGCUCAUCCUCACUCCACCAAAUUAGUACGCAAACGCAUCAUCAAAACUUAGCUGAACUUAACGAUAUAUAAGCAUAUUGCCCUAAAACAUGAUCAACUUACAUGGUGUAUAGCUAACACAAAGGCAACUACAAUAAUAUUAUACUACAAAUUUUUUAACAAACUCUACUUCAAUUUUCUUCUCAUUUCAUAGUUGAAACUUGAACCUCUCUCCCUUGAGUGCUUCCAUAGUUAAGAACUAGCUACUUGUAUCUCAUACUUGGCCAUGAUUGGUGUGGUUUCCUUGUACCAAAUUGAAUUGGUUUCUUUACUUGUUGCAUAGCUUGAACUUGUACCGGUUUCAUUUGCCUGCUGUAACACGUUUAUACCUACUGAGUAUAGAUAAUGAAACGGUUUUGGUGGUGGCAUGACUUCUACUCCUCCCUCCAGCAUCUUUACCACAGCACUCAUCAGAGGCCUUGAGUCGGGUGAGUCCUGAACACACCAUAGAGCCACCAUAGACAUUCUCUCUGCUUUCUCCCUGUCCUUCUCUUCAAUUCCACAGGCCACAGUCAUUGCUGCUAAAUCCCCUUUCUCAUACUCUUCCCAAACAUGUUUGGGGAACCAAUCCAUGCUCUCAUUAGAACCAAUUUUGGCAUUCCUCCUCCUCCCAACUAUCUCAAACAACAGCAUCCCAAAGCUAUAAACAUCACAUUUAUGGGUUAUAGGAUGGUUUUUCAGUAAAAAUUCUGGGGCCGAAUAGCCUGGAGUCCCUCUAUAUCCUGAGACUGUCAGGUGGGUGUUGUCCCUGUUACAAAGCUUAGCAAGCCCGAAGUCUGCAACCUUAGGAAAGAAGUUAGCAUCAAGGAGAACGUUGCCAGGUUUUAUGUCAUAGUGAAUGAUUCUUUGUACACAUUCUUCAUGUAAGUAAGCUAUGCCCUUUGCUGUUCCAACUGCUAUAUGAUGCAGUUUCUCCCACUCGAUUUCUCGUGCCUCACUGAACAAGUACUUGUCCAGGGAUCCGUUUUCCAGGUAUUCGUAGACAAGUGCACUCAUGAACUGAUCAUGGCAGAACCCAUAGAGCCUGACUAGAUUCAUAUGGUAAGUUCUGCCUAUGGUUCCCACCUCUGCCAUGAACUGUUCUCCAGCUUGUCUGUCUGGACUCCUAUUCAGGACCUUCACUGCAAUCUUGACCCCAUUCAGGAACUGCCCUUUGUAAACCACUCCAAACCCUCCAGAACCUAGUGUUGUCGAGUAGUUAGCAGUGAAACUGCAUAGCUGUUGAGCAGUGAAUCUGACUGGCUUCUCUUUUGCUAUUUCUUGGAAGAACCUCUCCAUUGUUGGUGCAUCAACCUCCCUCGCCUGCAAUUCUUUCACAAUGGGCUUCCUUGCUUUCCUUGCACAAAGGAGAUAGAUAACAGCGAUUUUUCCUACUACCACCAAGCUCGAUACUAUGACUGCAAGUCAUGGGAAUUUGAAUCAAUAAGAUCCCAACUUCAAUCUGUUGUAUAUAUUUCUCACAGAAAGCACUUACCUGCUGCUGCAACCCCAGAGUUGUUGUCUGUCGGAGGAGAGAAGUCUGAAGACAUCUACAAAGGCAGCAAAUUGGACUAAGUUAGAUAGGACUAUACAAUUCGCUAUUCAGUUGAAGUAUUUAUGUCGAUUUUGGGUACAAAUCCCCUGGGCACCUUGGCUAAGUGAGUGGUUAAUUAACCGAAAUUUUCUUCAUUAGUUCAAAGUUUUGUGCAUUGCAGGCUUGUUAAUCAUUCAUGAACCUUCAACAUACUAAGAACAAUCAGGUUAGUGAACUCACCCUCUUUGGAAGAUCACUCCUUGCUUUUCACCACCAAUGCACCACAACUUCUCUUCGCUCUUUGCUUCCCCCCACUGCCUUGACCUGAAAAUUCACCAAAGUUUCUUCACUCCUGAAUCAUAAUUCUGCAAUGGGUGUGAAGGGAAGAAGUUUUUGGGAAAUUUCUGUGACAUCUCUGCCGACUAACUUGGUCAAAAUUCUAUGGUACCCAUGUGGUCGGUACCAAAGUUAGAUUUUUGACCGUUGAAUUUAAAUAUUUUAAUCAUGACCGUUGAUCUAGAUUGUACGAAAAGGGGAAAACUUGCGUGUAAUCAGUUUCUUGUUAAGUGUAUUGUUUAAAAUGAUGAUCUAAUGAUAAUUAAGUAAUGAUAUUUUAUAUUAUUAAAUAUAUAAUUUAUAAUAAAUAAAAAAUAAUAUAUUAUCUAAUUUCUUUUUUAUUUUUAUUUAAAAAUGUAUCUAAUAAUAAUUUUAGUUUUUUUAUCAAUAAUUUGAGUUUAUUUUGAAUUUAAAUUUUACUAUAUUAGAUAACUAAAAAAAAAAAAUCAAUUUCAAUAUAAAUCAAUUAAAAAUGGAUUUUAAUUUAAUGUAAUUCUCAUAAAUAAAUUAAAAUAUAUUUUUCAUUUAAAAUAUUUAUUUUUUAACAUGAAAGUACUAAGGAUAAAAAAAUCAAUUUAAAAAAGAUAAAUUUUACAAUAAAAUUAUUUAAUAACAAGAAUCUUUAUUUUAUAAAAUGGAUAAAUAUGAAAAAAAUGUUAUAAAAUUAUUAAAUGUGAAUGUUAAUAUUUUAUAAAUCAAUUAAAAUAGAUAUUUUAUAAUUUUAAUUUUCUUUUAUUAAGGAUUUAAUUUAAAAUAAAUAUUUUAAUUUAAAAAAAAUUAAAUUUAUUAUAAGGCUCAUUCAAUAAUAUAAAUAGUGUUUUAUAAAAUAAAAUAAAAAAGUUUAAAAUUGAAUAAAAAAUUAUAGAAAUUUAUAAUUCAUUGAUCAUAUUUUGUUAUAAGUUGUUGAUAAGUCUCUAUUGUUAAGUGUAUUUAGUAACUUUUAUAUAGAACUUCUACUUAGAUGAGUUAGUUGGGUUGAUCGUUAAUCUAAGUCCAACCUAACUCAACUUCAUUUUUUUUUUAAGUUUGGAUUAGUCAAAUUAAACCGAUGUUGAUUGAACUUUGACUAUAGACUAUUCAUGAGACUCAAUAUUUAGAUUGUCAUCGUAUUGGUGAAAAAAGAUUUCAUAAUGAAAUGAUUCUCAUUGCUUUCUCUCUAUCAUUGGUAAGUUGUACUCAUGUGUCAGUGUUGUUGGAUUGUGUGACGUAUUUGUCACCAUGGGUUGAUCAAACUUUGACCAUAGCCAAUUCAAAAGCGACACCAUAUAUUUUUAAUGAUGCUUAAUUUGAUAUAGAGUUGUUUGAGAUAUAUAAUGUGUUAUAUUAAAUGCAUCACCUUUGAGUUAUGGUGUCACAUCAUUGUAAAUGAUUAUGAAAGAUAUGGUUGUUUUUUGUUGAUUAGCCUGUUAAUAAAUAAGAUCAACUUGUGCAUAUUUUGUCCAUAAAUAUAAUAAUCAUAUCACAUUUAACUUAUAUUUUUGUAAUGCUUAUGGAUUAACCUGUAAUACAUUACAUCAUCUAGUAAUAUUUGCAUAUCAAAUGUUCACAAAACGAUAGUACAUCAAACCUACCAAAACUAAAAAAGAAAAGUGAAUGCACAUUAAAACAUGAUUUAGAAAUGUUAAGCAUCCCAACAUUCAUGUAUACCUGCAUUUCAUAUGCAUAAAACCGGUUAACCGUAAAAUGACACAAGAGUUGCAUCCAAAAACCCAAAAUUCUCAAUACCAAAUAAAGUAACGUUUAUAUCCUAUAAUGUAUGGCAUCAGAGUCACAUCUAAAAACCAAAAAUCUUGUUGCCUCUUUCUCUUUUCUUUUUAUUCUUCAUACUGUCCUCCCAAAAGUGUAUCCUGCAUUUCAUAGUUUAAUGAGUUUUAAAGCUCUUAUUGAAAAUAAAAAUUAAUUAAUGUUAUAAAAAAUAAAUAAAUAAAUCUAAGGACUGAUGUUUUCUUUUUUCUUUUUCCCAUUUUGAUAUCAAAAUAAUUCGUAAAGAAUAAGUAAUGUCAUACAAUACUAAUGGAAAAUUCAUAUGACAACUAAGGGACUCACCAUGCAUGAUCACGAUACAUCAACAUGAUUCAUAAUUAGUCAUAACAUAAAAAUAGUCAAUUGUCUUCUAAUUUCAUCAAAUUCUACUUAAGAAUAUGUUUUUUUUUAUCAUCAAACUGAAAUCAAAUGAGAAUAACAUUAAUAUCACAAUAAUUGGAAGAUGAAAUUAUGUACAAUUCAUUAAAUGAGUAAAACCUUUAAUACAAUAACUAUAGAAUCAACAAUUAUCUCUUUAAUGAAUCUCAUAACAAAGUAGUCACAUUUGAACUCAAAUAAAAAUAAUUCAAGAAAAUAAAAAAUAAAUCAAAACUACAAAAUCAAAAUAUAAAUCUAAAAUUUUAGAAAAUACUAAUCUUCCACUUAAAAUCUGCACUUUUUAAAUUUAUUUUUUAUAAUUCAUUAUGUUUUUAAAAAUCAUUUUUAACAUUUAAUUCUUUUUAUAUAUAUAUAUUUUUUAUUUCUUGGAAGGAUUUUCUUAAUUUCAAUAUUUUUUAAUGUUCAUUUUGUGAAAUAAUAAUGUUCAUUAAAUUUCAUCUCAAUUAUAUAAAAUAAAAUUUUAGUAACAAAAUAUAAAAAUGUUUUCAACUACUAAUAUGAUAGGACAUGAUAUUAUAACAAGCAUGAAAAUUGUGUAUAUAAGACCAAAAACCUAAUUCAUUAUUAAAAAAUGUUAAGAGAAAAAAUAGUAUGAGAAAGAAUUAAACAAUUUUUCAUAAAAAUUAUUGAUUUUUCGGUUAUAACUCCAAUUGAUAUUUUUUUUUCUAAUUAAAAUAAUUAAUAAAAAAUUUUGGAUAUGAAAAAUAUGUUCAAAUAAAAAUAAUAACAAUUUUAAAAUAUCAAAGGAAAAGAUAUUCAAUAUUUUAAAUUUUUUACUUUUAAUAUUCUUCAGAUCAAUAAAUUAUCAAACAUCUUUUUCAAAAAAAAAAAAAUUGAAGAAAAGGAAGACCUUUGUGAAAGGAAUUGGAAAUUUUUUUGUAAUAAAAUGAUUUUAUAGAAAUUUCAUAACCUUGAAAGGAAAAUUUCAUCAUCAAUUUCAAAUUACUCCAAAAUUUAGUCAAUGCAUAUAAAAACAAUAAGAAAAAAAAGACAAAAAUAAAACAUAUUUUGAGAAUCCUUUUGCGGGAGAUGACAAUAUUGCGAAUAAUUUUUGAGAAAAUUAUUUUCCUAAUAUGACCAACCAAUAUCUUCAUCACAACAUACUAUAAUAUUCUUAGAAAAUAAACAAAUUAAAGGAAUUUUCAUUAAAAAUCAAAAGAAAAUUAUAAAACAUCUUCUUAAAAAAAAAAAGUUUUAUAGAAGGAAUUAAAAAAAUUUAUGUAAUAAAAGGAUUUUAUAGAAAUUUUCUAACCUUGAAAGAGAAAUUCUAAAUUUUGGUCAACGCAUAUAAAAACAAUAAGAAAAUAAAGUAAAAACAAAAAACAAAAAACAAAAAACAUAUUUCAAGAAUAGAAAAAAUAUAAAUAGAACAAGAUGAGAUAUUAACCAUAAUACCAAGUAAAAUAAUAAUAAAAAAAAUCAAAAUAUAAGAUUUGAUCAUUUUUAUAAUUAUAAAAAUUUUCAUUCCUAUUUAAAAUUUAAAAAACAAUUCAUUUACAUGAAUAAAUAAAUAAUUAAACUAAUUUUUCAUUGUUAAUUCCAACAUUCCAAACCAAUGCCAAUAUGAUAUGGAAAUUAUUUCAUUUUUCCUUUUGUGGGAGAUGACAAUAUUAAGAAUAACUUUCUAAAAAAUUAUUUUUCAUGAGUGUGAGAAGAGGUAGAAGAAAAUUAUGGUUAGGGUUAUGGAAUGAGAUUUUUUUUUGGAUCGGGAGUAUGUGGAAACAAUGAGUUUUUUAUAUAUUAUUAUUAUUCUCAAAGUGGGCCCGUUAAAUUAUAGUAUUUUAAAAUUUUUAUUUUAUAUGGUGUCACUUUUCAAAAACUGACACUAUAAACUUAAAAUUAAUAUCAUCUAUCUUAAUUAAAAAAAUUUAUAUGAUGUGUCACCUUUAUGGAUUUUAAGUCAUAUGGUGUCUUUAUUUUAAAAGUGACACCAUAAAUUAUUUUUGUAGUAGUGAUUCUUUACUUAGGAUGUUACGGGUUAAGCUAUCGAAUCAACUCUUAGGGUUAAAGGAGUGUUAACGUUCUAAAGAAUUUUUUUAUGUGAUAAAUGACGAAUUUAGCCUCAUUAUAUAUUUAAACUUCUUAUGAAUUAGGAUUUUUUAGAGAGCGUGAUCAUAAUUAAGAAAUUUUUUUGAGAGUUUUACCAUUAUAAUCUUUCUUUUCUUUUGAUUAGUGGAUUCUUAAAUGUUAAUAUAUUUUAUGGACUUAAGAAUCACAUUGAUCAUCGAACCACAUUAAAAAAUUUAUGUUUUUAUUUAUUUUCUGUUAAUGUGUACAUGAUUUGAUUAAAAAGUGUCACCAUGUUCUUUAGCUUGUCUGUCUAACCUCUUGUUUAGGAACUGUUAGAAGAGUGAUCGACCUCCCCAUCUCAUAAAGAACUUCUUUUGAAUCAUUUUCCAGUUUUAUUAAUCACCUUAUUUUUGUUAAUAGUAAUAUUUGCUUUCUGCAUGAAAUUAUGUUCAUUAUUUUCACUGAAUAUGAAAUUAUUUAAGCUAUGUUAUAUAACCAUUACAUUGAAUUUUGCCCAGAUGUCCAUUGGGCAUCUGGACACCAGUGGAACCAUGGCCACUGCAUGUCAGAACAAGCAAAAGUACGUGGUCUAAUGAUAUUUAAUAGGUCGGCUACUAACCACCCAACUCAUUGAAUGCUGAUUGAGACUCUUAUAUGGAACCAUGCAUGGCCACUGCAUAUUCGGUCAAGCAAAAGAAAGUGGUCUAAUGAUAUUUAAUAGGUCGGCUACUAACCAGCCAACUUAUUGAAUGUUGACUGGGACUCUUAUAUAGGUCUAUGUUGACUGAAUAUUAGAAGAAGUGAUGAUAUAUAAGCAUGUUGCCCUAAAACAUGAUCGACUUAUAGGAUAUAUAGUUUGUUAUGCCAAUGAAAGCUUUGAUGCCAACAAUGUUAGUUCAAGAACACAAAGAUAAAACAAUCACACAUACGGUACACGAGGUUUUAACGUGGUUCAGCCAACUAUGCCUACGUCCACAGAUAAGAGAGAAUAAUUCCACUAUACAAUAGAGAAUAUUACAGAGGACAUAAUCAAAUACAACUAUUGGGUUCCCGAAACAUCACAUAUUUCCCCACUCUUUGUAUCUAUACCCUACUACGAGCCAUCUCGCUCCACAGAGUACCUCCCAUUCUUCCUCACAUCUCUAUCCACCUCGUAUAGUUUUUAUAAGCCCAUUUCCAUCUCAUAACUUUUCCCCCUCAUGACCUAGAAUAUUUAUAGAGAUAUUUCCAACAACCUUCCUUAUUCUAUAAGGAAGUCUAUAUUACAAUAAUAUAUCAACCUAGAAGUAUUCUAUAUAAUAUUCUUUAUAAAAAAAGAAUCUAUACUAAUUAGGAAUUUGGGACACGUCCUAACAAUCUCCACCUUGGACCAAAUUCCAUGAAGUUAAUCUCCAAUCUCUCCAUGACACAAAUCUUUUUGUAUCGUAUCACCACGAAAGAGCAAUCGACUCCACCUUCAGUGAAAAUUCCUUUUGUUUUCAUCUUGUGUGCUUUGUGAUCUUUUACUCUUCCAGAAAUCUCAACCCAAGCUCUGAUACCAGUUGAAGGGAAUUAAGUCGAAUUCUCAACCUGUUUUCCCACAGUUCCAGCAUUAUACUUGUUGGCCUGAUUUAGAUUUGCUUCUGUUCUGAUUAGAAUUUCUGGAUUUUGAUCUACCCCAGUUUGAAUUUCUGUCAUUACCUCUGCUUCUUGUCUCAAGGUUUAGGGCAGAACCAAAUCCUGAGGUUUCGCCUGCAUCUCUUCGGCGAAUCUCCUCAGCCAGAAUUAAAUCUCGUAUAUCAUUGUACUUGAGCUUUUCCUUUCCCAUAGAAUUGCUUACUGUCAUCCUCAUUGUCUCCCAACUAUUUGGCAAAGAAGCUAAGACGAUCAGAGCACGAAUCUCAUCAUCAAAAUCAAUUUCUACAUACGACAAUUGAUUUGUAAUUGUAUUAAAUUCAUUCAGAUGUUGUGCUAUUGAUGCAUUUUCUGUCAUCUUCAAAUUGAACAAUUUCUUCAUCAGAUGCACCUUAUUGUUUUCGGACGGCUUUUCAUACAUACCGGACAAAGCCUUCAUCAGAUCUGUUGUGGUCUUCUCUUUUACAACAUUGUGUGCAACAGACCUAGACAAAGUUAACCUAAUAACUCCUAGAACCUAUAUGUCAAGAAGCACCCAUUCCUUAACCUUCAUACUCUCAGGUUUUGUCCCCAAAAGAGGCAGAUGCAAUUUCUUCUCAUAGAGAUAAUCUUCAAUCUGCAUCCUCUAAUACGCAAAGUCUGUGCCAUCAAACUUUUCUAUUCUAGAUGUCUUUCCUGCUUCCUCUGCCAUUGCUCCCACUCAAACCUAAUCCUAGGCUCUGAUACCAGUUGAAGGGAAUUAAGCCGAAUUCCCAACCUGUGAGAAACAAAAAAAAAUAGAGAAAACACACGCCAAAGAAAAACAAUCAACGCACAAGAAAGUCUACGUCCAUGAAGUUGCAGGGAUAUCACUAUUAUCAGGGAAAAAUCCAGAGUACAACAAUUGCGGCUACAAUAUUUUCUCUCUAUAUAUAACACAACAACUACACCACACUAAAAAACCCUAAUUACAAAAGAUGGUUCCACAAUGGGCUAAGCGGGCCCAAAAGCCCAAGCCUUCGCUCCAUGGACUAAGACUCAGUAAAUCUCCCAUUAAAAAACCACGUAAUAUUAUUCGAGUCGGGUCGCCAAACCGGAUCAAACAAAACUAGGCUCCACAAAGCCUGACAUAAACACACAAAGGCAACUACAAUAAUAUUAUACAACAAAUUUUUAACAAAAUCUACUUCAAUUUGAACCUCUCUCCCUUGAGUGUUUCCAUGGUUAAGAACUAGCUACUUGUAUCUCAUACUUGGCCAUGAUUGGUGUGGUUUCCUUGUACCAAAUUGAAUUGGGUUCUUCACUUGUUGCAUAGCUUGAACUUGUACCGGUUUCAUUUGCCUGCUAGAACAUGUUCAUCCCUAUUGAGUACAGAUAAUGAAAUGGUUUUGGCGGGGGCAUGACUUCUACUCCUUCCUCCAACAUCUUUACCAUAGUACUCAUCGGAGGCCUCGAGUCGGGUGAGUCCUGGACACACUAUAGAGCCACCAUAGACAUUCUCUCUGUUUUCUCCCUGUUCUUCUCUUCAAUUCCACAGGCCACAGUCAUUGCUGCUAAAUUCCCUUUCUCAUACUCUUCCCAAACAUGUUUGAAGAACCAAUCCAUGCUAUCAUUAGAACCGACUUUGGCAUUCCUUCUUCUCCCAACUAUCUCAAACAACAACAUCCCAAAGCUAAAAACAUCACAUUUAUUGGUUAUGGGAAGGUUUUUCAGUAAAAAUUCUGGUGCUGAGUAGCCUGGAGUCCCUCUAUAUCCCGAGACUGUCAGGUGAGUGUUGUCCCUGUUACAAAGCUUAGCAAGCCCAAAGUCUGCAACCUUAGGAAAGAAGUUAGCAUCAAGGAGAACGUUACCGGGUUUUAUGUCAUAGUGAGUGAUUCUUUGUACACAUUCUUCAUAUAAGUAAGCUAUGCCCUUUGUUGUCCUAACUGUUAUAUGAUGCAGCUUCUCCCACUCGAUUUCUCUUGCCUCGCUGAAUAAGUACUUGUCUAGGGAUUCGUUUUCCAGGUAUUUGUAGACAAGUGCGCUCAUGAACUGAUCAUAGCAGAAACCAUAGAGCCUGACUAGAUUGAUAUGGUAAGUUCUGCCUAUGGUUCCCACCUCUGCCAUGAACUGUUCUUCAGUUUGUCUGUCCGAAUUCCUAUUCAGGACCUUCACUGCAAUCUUGACCCCAUUGGGGAACUGCCCCUUGUAAACCAUUCCAAACCCUCCAGAACCCAGUGUCGUGGUGUAGUUAGCAGUGAAGCUGCAUAGCUACAGAGCAGUGAACCUGACCGGCUUCUCCCUCGCUAAUUCUUGGAAGAACUUCUCCAUUGUUGGUGCAUCAACCUCCCAAACCUGUAUCAUAUUAGCAGGUGGGGGAGCCACUACCACUUGCAAUUCUUGCACAAUCGCAUUCUUUGCUUUCCUUGCACAUACGAUAGAGAUAACAACGAUUAUUCCAACGAUCGCCAAGCUCAACACAAAGGCUGCAGGUCAUGGGCGUUUGAACCAGUAAGAUCCCAACUUCAAUAUGUUGUCUGUCAAUAUAUAAUUCCUUCAUACGUUUCUCACAUAAAGAACUUACCUCCUCCUGCUGAAAGCCUAGAGUGGUUGCCUGUUGAAGGAGAGUUGUUAUUGGAAGACAUCUACAAAGACAGCAAACUGGACUAGGUCAGAUAAGACUAGAAUUCGCUAUUCAGUAAGUGUUUAUAUGGAUUUUGCUUACAAAUCCCCUGGGCAACUUGCCUUAGUGAGCGUGUUAAUUAACAGAAAUUUUCUUCAUUGGUUCAAGGUUUUGUGCAUUGCAGGCUUGUUAUAUCAUACAUGAACCUUCAACAUACUAAGAACAAUCAGGUUAUUGAACUCACCCUCUUUGGAAGAUCACUCCUUGCUUUUCACCACCAAUGCACCACAACUUCUCUUCGCUCUUUGCUUCCCCCCACUGCCUUGACCUGAAAAUUCACCAAAGUUUCUUCACUCUUGAAUCAUAAUUCUGCAAUGGGUGUGAAGGGAAGAAGUUUUUGGGAAAUUUAUGUCACAUCUUUGCCGACUAACUUGAUCAAAAUUCUAUGGUACCCAUGACCAAAGUUAGAUUUUUGACCGUUGAUCUAGAUUGUACAUAUGAAAAGGGAAAAACUUGCGUGUAAUUAGUUUCUUGUUAAGUGAAUUCUCAAGGUUGGUAAGUGUAUUAUUUAAAAUGAUGAUCUAAUGAUAAUUAAGUAAUGAUAUUUUAUAUUAUUAAAUAUAUAAUUUAUAAUAAAUAAAUAUAAUAUAUUAUCUGUUAUUUAAGUAAUGAAUGUCACCACAUUAAUUAUAAUAAAUGUUAAUUAAGUGUUAUUUAUGAUUUCCAUUAAUACUCAUUAAUGGAAACCAUUAAUGUUAUUUAUAAGUUCCAUUAAUAUUCAUUAAUAGGAAUAUUAAUGGAAGCCAUUUGGAAAGCCUAUAAAAGGGCUUCCCAUCCCUUGUAAUAUGUAUCCUUAAGGAAGAAAGAAAUUUCUUACUUUCUCUCAUUCUCUCUGUUUUUCAUUCUUUCAACUUUCUUAUCUGAUUUCUUCUUCCUUAUUAUAUAUCAAAGUAAGAUAUAUUUCAUCUCUACUGCUUUGAUUUGCAUUGUAUUUGUCCUUAUUUUAUAACACGUUAUCAGCACGAAUUGCUCUGAAGGUAAUUCUUGUAUCUUAAACUUGAAGUUAUUUUUAUAGAAUAAAAUUUUACAUAUUUAUAUUAUUGUUAAUUUGUUUUGUUACAUAUUGUUAAAAGUUAUAAACAAAUUAUUUGAUUUUGUUUAUAAUCAAAGUUAUACUAAUGUUAUCAAGUUAUUAUAAUUGAUUCUAAUAAUAUUGUUUUGUCAUAUAUAUGAAGUUAUUUGACAAUGUCGAAUAUCACAAAACUCGAAUUUGUGGCACUUGACAUUUCGGAAAAUAACUAUCUAUCUUGGAUCCUUGAUGCUGAAUUACAUCUUGAUGCAAUGAACCUUAGAGCUACGAUCAAACAAGGAAAUCAAACAUCCCUACAGGAUCGCACAAAAGCAUUGAUUUUCCUUCGCCAUCACCUCAAUGAAGGUUUAAAAAAUGAGUAUCUUACGGUAAAGGACCCUUUUACUCCAUGGAGUAAUUUGAAGGAAAGAUAUGACCACCAUAAAACUGUGAUUCUCCCAAAAGCUCGAUAUGAUUGGAUGCACCUAAGGUUGCAAGAUUUUAAAACUGUUAGUGAAUACAACUCCGUACUUUUCAAAAUCAGCUCUCAAUUAAAACUGUGUGGAGAAAAAAUCACAGAAGAAGACAUGUUAGAGAAAACUUUUACUACGUUUCAUGCCUUGAAUGUGCUCCUACAGUAGCAAUAUCGAGAACGUAGAUUUACAAAAUAUUCUAAAUUAAUAUCAUGUCUUCUUGUUGUUGAACAAAAUAAUGAGCUUUUGAUGAGAAAUCACCAGUCUCGUCUAAUUGGAUCUAAACCAUUCCCUAAAGUGAAUGCAAUAUCGUCCCAAACUCGUGGAUGUGGACAAGAACGAGGACGUGGUCAUGGUCGUGGAAGAAAUCCCCGAUACCAUGGUUCUUAUAGUAAUAAUUCUCAGAAAAUGAAAGCCCCAUUGGACCACCAGAAAUGGAACAAUACUGAGACAAAACAAGAAAAUGGGAAGCAUUUACAAGAUAAACCUCCUAAGAACCAUGAGAAUAACUGUUAUAGAUGUGGUAUGAAGGGGCAUUGGUUGCGUACCUACCGUACACCCAAACAUUUGGUCGACCUUUACCAAGCAUCAAUAAAAACAAAAGGAAAAGAGAUAGAGAUGAACUUUACCAAUGGUGAUGGAUUUAACCUAACCUACUAUGAUAUUGAUUUCUUUGGAGGUCCCAAUGAAAAAACAGAUCAUUUGAUAAAUGAUGAGAAAAUUAACAUUGAUUGAUGUUACUUUAUAUAUGAAAUAAUAUAUUAUUUUGUCUUAUAUUUACAUCUAAUUUUCUUUGUUAUUUACAUUAUGCCUUGUUUUUUUUGUUAUAUCUGAAAUCCAUGUGUUAUUUGGUCUCAAGAUGAAUGAGGAUGAUGUAUGUCUCGUAGACUGUGUGACCACGCACACAAUUCUUCGAGAUAAAAUAUAUUUCCUCAAAUUGACAUUAAUAAAAGCUAAUGUAAGUACCAUAUCUGGUACUACAAACUUAGUUGAAGGCUCUGGAAGAGCAAACAUAACGUUGUCAAAUGGAACUAGAUUCCAUAUAAAUGACGCUUUAUAUUUUAGAAAAUCUAGAAGAAAUUUGCUCAGUUUUAAAGAUAUUCGCAAAAAUGGAUAUCAUAUUGAAACUAUGAAUGAAGAUAAUGUAGAAUAUCUUUACAUUACUUCCAUUAUAUCUGGCCAGAAGCUUAUAAUGGAAAAAAUCACGGCUUUCUUUUCUAGGUUGUAUCAUACAACUAUAAAGCCUAUUGAAUCAUAUGUUGUCGUGAACCAAAAGUUCAACGACCUAAAAGUUUUUAUCCUUUGGCAUGACAGGCUAGGUCACCCAGAGUCUUCAAUGAUGCGUCGAAUAAUCGAACACUCACAUGGGCACCCCCUAAAGAACCUGAAGAUUCUUUCGCCCAAUGAAUACUCAUGUGAUGCCUGCUCACAAGGUAAAUUGAUAAUCAGACCAUCUUUUACUAAAGUCAUAUCUGAGUCACCAGUCUUUCUAGAAAGAAUACAUGGGGACAUAUGUGGGUCUAUCCAUCCACCAUGUGGACCAUUCCAUUAUUUUAUGAUCUUAAUAGAUGCUUCUACUAGGUGGUCACAUGUUUGUCUCCUUUCUACACAUAACGUUGCCUUUGCUAGACUCCUUGCACAAAUAAUCAGAUUACAAGCACAAUUUCCAGAUUAUCCAAUUAAGACAAUACGUCUUGAUAAUGCUGGCGAAUUUACUUCUCAAACAUUCAUUGACUAUUGCAUGUCAGUAUGGAUAAAUUUUGAGCAUCCUAUUGCUCAUACUCAUACCCAAAAUGAUUUAGCAGAAUCCUUUAUCAAACGUCUCCAAUUAAUAGCUCGGCCAUUACUAAUGAAAACCAAAUUGCCUACUUCCACUUGGGGACAUGCUAUUAUGCAUGCUGCAGCUUUAGCCCGUAUUCGACCUAGAACUUACCAUGAAUACUCCCCUUCACAACUUGUGCUUGGAAAACAACCAAAUAUCUCUCACUUAUGAAUCUUUGGUUGUGCAGUAUAUGUACCAAUUGCACCUACACAACGCACUAAAAUGGGUCCUCAACGAAGACUUGGGAUUAUGUAGGUUUUGAUUUUCCAUCUAUCAUAAGAUAUCUUGAACCUUUGACAGACGAUGUUUUUACAGUCCCGCUUUGCGGAUUGUCAUUUUAAUGAGAGUAUUUUCCCAUCAUUAGGGGGAGAAAAGUCGAUUCUUGAAGAACAACGAGAAAUUAGUUAGAAUCAUCUACUAUGACCCAUCUUGAUCCUCAUACAAAUCAAUGUGAACUAGAAGUUCAAAGGAUCAUUCAUUUUCAAAAUCUUGCAAAUAAAUUACCAGAUGCAUUCAUUGAUACAAAGAAAGUGACAAAGUCACAUAUCCCGGCUGCAAAUACUCCAGCACGGAUUGAUGUCCCUGUAGGACAGUUAACAAAUGAUUCUAAGAUACGCUUGAAGCGUGGUAGACCUGUCGGCUCAAAUGAUGUAACUCCUCUGAAGAGAAGAACCCAAGAAAAACUUGGCACUCUAAAAGAGACCAUCAAAAUGACUGAUCAGUUUAAAAUUGAUAAAUCUAUAGCCCUAGAAGAUGCGCAAAUAAUGCAGAAAGCCCUCGAAAAGGCACAUAUUGAACAAGAAGCCCAUGUUGAGCCACAUAUUGAACGAGAAGCCCCUGAAGAGGCACAGGUACCUGAAAAUUGUGAGAUCUCGGUAAGUUAUGUACACACGGGAGAAAAAUAGGAUCGAAAUAAUAUUGUUAUUAACAAUAUUUUUGCUUUCCAAGUGGCCUCUAAAGUCAUAAGAAAUGACGAAGAUCUCGAACCACAAAAUAUGGAAGAAUGUCGAUGUAGAAAUGAUUGGCCAAAAUGGAAAGAAGGUAUAUAGGCAGAGUUAAAUUCAUUAAAAAAACGACAAAUUUUUGGACCUGUAGUCCAAACACCUGAAGAUGUAAAGCCUGUUGGGUACAAAUGGGCAUUUGUACGAAAGCGCAAUGAGAAAAAUGAUAUCAUAAGAUAUAAAGCGCGAUUAGUAGCACAAGGUUUCUCGCAGAGACCUGGUAUUGACUACGAGAAAACAUAUUCUCCCGUCAUGGACGUAAUCACAUUUCGUUUCUUAAUUAGUUUGGCAGUCUUAAAAGGACUGGAUAUGCGUCUCAUGGAUGUUAUUACAACAUAUUUAUACGGAUCCAUGGAUAAUGAUAUAUACAUGAAAAUCUCUGAAGAAUUUAAAUUGCCUAGAGCAAAUAGUAUAAAGCCUCGUAGCAUGUACUCAAUCAAGUUACAGCAAUCCUUGUAUGGAUUAAAGCAAUCUGGACGCAUGUGGUACAAUUGCCUUAGUGAAUACUUACUAAAAGAAGGGUAUGUGAAUAACCCUAUAUGCCCAUGCAUCUUCAUUAAGAAAUCAGAAAUCAGAUUUGCAAUUAUUGCAGUGCAUGCUGAUGACUUAAAUCUUGUUGGAACUCCUGAAGGGCUCACAAGAACAACAAAUUACUUGAAAAAUGAAUUUGAGAUGAAAUAUCUUGGAAAAACAAAAUUUUGUCUCGACCUGCAAAUCGAGUAUUUUCCAAAUGGAGUUUUAGUACAUCAAUCAACAUACAUUAAGAAAGUUUUGAAGCGUUUUUAUAUGGAUAAAGCGCAUCAUUUAAGUUCUCCAAUGGUUGUCCUAUCACUUGAUGUGAAAAAAUACCCAUUUCGUCCUUGUGAAAAAUAUGAAGAGUUAUUUGGUCCUGAAGUACCAUAUCUUAGUGCUAUUGGUGCACUUAUGUAUCUUGCCAAUUGUACACGUCCAGACAUUACUUUUUCUGUCAAUUUAUUAGCAAGAUACAGUUCCGCUCCAACUUGAAGACAUUGGAAUGGUAUUAAACAUAUAUUGCGUUAUCUUCGCGGAACUACUGAUAUGAGUUUAUUUUACUCAAGGGAAUCAAAGCAACAAUUGCUUGAAUAUGCAGAUGCAAGAUAUAUUUCAUAUCCACAUAAAGGUAGGUCACAAACAGGGUAUGUGUUUAAUUGCAAUGGUACUGCUAUUUCAUGGAGAUCUGUCAAACAAACAAUGGUGGUCACAUCAUCAAAUCAUUCAUAAAUAUUGGCUUCAUGAAGCAAGUCAUGAAUGUAUAUGGCUAAGAUCUAUGAUCCAACAUAUUCAAGAAUCAUGUGGACUCUCCUCUAUCAAAGGUGACCCGACAAUAUUAUUUGAAGAUAAUGUUGCAUGCAUUGCACAAAUAACAGGGGGUUAUAUUAAAGGAGAUAGAACUAAACACAUUUUACCAAAAUUCUUUUAUACUCAUGAACUCUGAAAGAGUGGUGAAAUUGAUGUGCAACAAAUACGCUCAAGUGAUAAUCUAGCAAAUUUAUUCACAAAAUCAUUGUCAACCUCAACAUUCAAGAAGUUAAUACACAGGAUUGGAAUGCGUCAACUCAAGGAUAUCGACAUGAGGGGGAGUAAGCUUGUAAAAGGGUGUUAGUGUACUGUACUCUUUUUUCCUUCGUCCAGGUUUUAUCCUACUGGGUUUUACUGGCAAGGUUUUUAAUGAAGCAGUCCUAACAUACCAAGAGCAACUUAAAGAAUUAUAAGAAUGUUGCAUUCUUUUUCCUUCGCUAGGUUUUUCCCAUAGGGUUUUUUACUAGCAAGGUUUUAAUGAGGCAUAUUCUUCAAUGUGGUGGACAUCCAAUGAGGAGUGUUAUAACUGAAGUAAUGAAUGUCACCACAUUAAUUAUAAUAAAUGUUAAUUAAGUGUUAUUUAUGAGUUCCAUUAAUAUUCAUUAAUGGGAAUAUUAAUGGAAGUCAUUUGGAAAACCUAUAAAAGGGUUUCCCAUCCCCUGUAAUAUGUAUCCUUAAGUAAGAAAGAAAUUUUUUACUUUCUCUCAUUUUCUCUGUUUUUCAUUCUCUCAAUUUUCUCAACUUUCUUAUCUGAUUUCUUCUUUCCUAUUAUAUAUCAAAGUAAGAUAUAUUUCAUCUCUACUACUUUGAUUUGCAUUGUAUUUUUCCUUGUUUUACAACAUUAUCUUUUUUUUUUUUAAUUUAAAAAUAUAUAUAUAUAAUAAUAAUUUUAUUUUUUUAAUCAAUCAUUUAAUAAAAAAUGAAUUAUCAUGAACUAAGUAAGUUGAGUUUAUUUUGAAUUUUAAUUUUACAAUAUUAGAUAACUAAAAAAAAUCAAUUUCAAUAUAAAUCAAUUAAAAAUGGAUUUUAAUUUAAUGUAAUUCUCAUAAAUAAAUUAAAAUAGAAUUUUCAUUUAAAUAUUUAUUUUUUUACAUGACACUACUAAGAAUACAAAAAUUUAAUUUAAAAAAGAUAAAUUUUACAAUAAAAUUAUUUAAUAACAAGACUCUCUAUUUUAUAAAAUGGAUAAAUAUGGGAAAAAAAGUUAUGAAAAUUUUAAAAUAAAUUUAUUAAAUGUGAAAUUUAUAAAUCAAAUAUUUUAUAAUUUUGAUUUUAUUGUAUUAAGGAUUUAAUAACAAAAGGAUUUAAUAAUAAAAGAAUUUAAUUUAAAAUAAGUGUUUUAAUUUUUUUUAAAUUUGUAUUUAUUAUAAGACUCGUUCAAUAAUAUAAAUAGUGUUUUAUAAAAUAAAAAUAAAAAAGUUUUAAAUUGAAUAAAAAAAAUUAUAGAAAUUUGUAAUUCAUUGAUCAUAUUUUAUUAUAAGUAGUUAAUCAAGUCUUUAUUGUUAAGUGUAUUUAGUAACUUUAUGUGGAACUUCUAGUUGGGUGAGUUGGUUGGAUCCAUAGCUAACUCAAGUCUAAUCUAACUAAAUCUCUUUUUUUUUUUUCGAAAUUUGUAUUAGUCAAGUUAAACUUGAGUUGACCAAACUUUGACCUUGCAUGGACUAUUCGUAAGACUCAAUUUUUAGAUUGUGAUCAUAUUGAUAAUAAAAUAUUUCAUUUCUCCUUAUGAAUUCUUUUUCUUUCCUUUCAUCCCUCUUAUUAUGAUGCAAUUGAAAUAUUAAUAAAAGAGCAAUCAAAAUAUUACAUUACUUAGUGAUAUUUGCUAUCAAUAUGUCUUUAAAAGAAUUUGAUAUUUUUAUAUCAUUUUAUCAUAUUUUUGUACAUGGGAUUAUAAAAUAUUAUUCAAAUUAUUUAUUUUUAACAUAUGAAAAUCAUAGGAAAGAAAUUAAAAAUAUAGGCAAAAUUGUUUAGCAUAUGACAAGUGAGCUUUUGAAUUUCACAUCUAAUCUCUUUAAAAGCUUUUUUAAAUGGGUUAUUUGAUUAAAAGAAUUAUUGAAAACCCAAUUUUGAAAAUCUAACCCCUCAUCACUUUUUGGCCUAAUUUUAUCAAAAAUACCCUCAAUUUUUUUUUUUAAUGAAAAUAACUCGUUCUUUUAAAACAUGCAUGUAAAUGUUUGAAAUUAUCAAGAGCAUUUAUGUCAAAAAUGGGUUAUUCUUCAAAUAAAAACAUAAGGGUUAAAUUCACAAAUAUAAAGAUUAUUUCAUUAUUUUUAACCCAUUAAUUCUUUUUAGAUUAGGAUACAAAAUAAGAUAUAUAUAUAUAUAUAUAUAUAUAUAUAUAUAUAUAUAUAUAUGAGCUCGUAGAUUUGUUGUACCAUAUCAUAUAUUUUCUCACAUUCUUUGUACAUGUCCUCGUAUGUUUUAUAUUUUUUUUUCACAUUCUUCCUCUUUUAUCACAUUUUUGUUUAUAAUAAAGAUAUGAUAAGAUAUAUUUGUUGUCAAAAGGUUUCAGGUUAUGAAAGUAUUUUACAUGUUUUUUUUUUUUUCAAAUUACAAGAGUAUGUAAGAAUUUUUUUUAUUUUACAUAGCUUUGAACUAUAAAAAUAUGUAAAUUAAUUAUUUUACAUAAUUUUAAGUUAUAAUAAUAUACAAAUUAUUUUUCAUACAACUUCAAACCACCAAAAUAAUUAUUCUAUAACUUCUAAUUAUAAAAAUAUAUAGAAAUAUAUAUAUAUAUAUAUAUAUUUUCUCUAGGCUCGGUUCAUCGUGAUAAACAAUAUUUUUAUAAUAUCAUAAAGUAAAACAAUUAUUAUAAACUCAAGAAACUAAUAUAAUAAAUAAACAACAUCUACUAAAUAAUAAAAAUGAAAGAAUAAAUUUGUUCGUCACUUCCGCCCACGAAUAAUUUUAUUAUAAUAAAAUAAAAUUUUUGCAUGCCAUUAAGCAAUGAUCUAUUCUCUAGGUUAUAUUAUGAAGUAAGUAUUAAUAGAAAUUUUUCUUAAAUCCUUCCUAUAAGAAAUUUUGUGUAUGGUAUCGGGUUGUACAAAAUUAAAAUAUCAAUAUUUUUAAGUUUCUUUUUUCGUAAUCUCGUAUUUACAGAGGUUGGAAAAAUCAGAAUUAAAACAUCGUCUGAGAUCACCGACUUAAGCCGCCGUCAUCGCUGUCUCCGAAUUUGCUUUUUCUAUAGGCGCCGUUGUCUAUACCUUCGAAAACUCGAUACGGAGAAAGUGAAGGAUGGCAACCCUAACUUGCAACGCAUGCAAUAAGGAGUUCAUCGGCGAAUCAGACCAGAAGCUCCAUUACAAAUCCGAUUGGCACCGCUACAAUCUCAAACGCAAGGUGUCUCUCUUCUAUUCUCUGCUUUCUAGGGUUUUUUUUCUUUUUCUUUCGAUAUAAUUUGAAUUUUGGGGCUCAUUCUGUAGCCUUAGGUGGAAACUAAAUUUUUUUAUUUUUGAGUACUCGAGCAUCGAAUUGCUGUUGAAAGCGAGGAAUAUGUUUUGGGAUUGCAUGGAUACUGGGUGUUUAGGUGUUUAGGGUUUCGGUUCGGCGGCUGGGAAAAGCUCGGGAAAGAUUAGAAAUUUUAGAUUAUGGAUAUUGAUUUUUUGGGUAUUCUGAACCCGAGAGAACAUAGACCUGGACUUGUUCAAGGACAUAUUUGAAAUUUUGUUCUGUUUUUAUGUAGUUCGAUUGGUAACCUGCGUAGAUCAGGAAAUUGGAGGAGCAGAUUUAGUUUUCGAUAUUUUUUUGAAAUUUUUGGAUGAUUAGUUUUGGGGUUUGAACGUGCUAGCUUUACUUAUUGAAAAUCUUGGUUUGAUGGAGAAUUCUGUACAAAAAUUUUUAUUUUUCAUUUUAUAUUAUUUUAUUUUUUUUGGCUCCUACUAUUAAGGUUUAUCAGCUCCUGGUAAUCAAGAAAUCCAAGAAUCAAGAUUUAAGAUUUCAUAUGAUGGAUGGGGGAAUUUUUAGUAGUUGUUUAAACUUCUGUUGUUCUGGAAUAUUAUUGUUUACCUUUUGUCUUUUUCAUUUAUUUUGCUUCUUUGUUUAUUGGUCUGCAUGAUAUUUCUUAUUUGUUCUUUCUAAAGGAAGAAUUACUACAGCCUGCAGGCAUGUCUAUAAAUUGUCAAGUAUACUUCUUUUGUUUAUACUGUUUGCUUUCUGAUAAAACUAGGAAAUUUUAAGGUUGUAUAUAGUCCGGGUUACCAACUACCCCCACCCCAACCCAGCAAAAGGAGGAAGAUGAAGGAAGAAAAUGCACAUGAAUUAUAGAAAAUAGUUGGAUUGAGCUCGAAUGAGGCCCUUAGGGGAGGUUUCCAUUCUUUGUUAUUUACUCCUGUUGUUUCCUAAACAACCAAGUGAAGUAUAAGGUUCCUUGUUUUUCUUGGGGGAACAAACUAUUGUAGACAAUGAGAUAAAUUUUUCUUAAAGCAAAUUGAAGAAAUAGCGGCUAAUCUUCCCACAAAGAGAUCCUUGUGGCUUUCUCUGAAUCCCUCUGAGAAUGAGGGAAAGGAAUUACUGAGAAUUAAGUAUGAACAGAUUCCAUCCUCAUGCUAGUGACCAUUGAGGGAAAGGAAGUACUGAGAAUUAAGUAUGAACAGACUCCAUCCUCAUGCUAGUGACCAUUAAAAAGGAGAUCUGAUGACUAUAUAACAAUAAGACUUAUUAAUGAUCUUGUUGAACAAAUAUAGGAUUUUGCAUUUUGUUCAUUUUGCAUGUGAUUGACGGAUUGAGUUGAAUUUUUUGUUUCUUAUUUUUAAAAAACUCAUUAGACUUGCACCUUUAGUUUUAGAUGAUUGUGUUGUGGUAUUAAGCAUCAGCCUUAACAAUCGAUAAGCUGUAUUCAAUUUGGUUUUGACAACAUAUGAAAAAAGUGAAAAUUGGAAGGAUGAUGCAUACUUUUGCUUCUCUUGUCAAUAAUUCUGAUGUGUGCAGAUAUCUUUUGUUAGUUAAAACCAUCAUUCUGGCAUGUCUCAAUAUUUCCAUUGUCAUUGCUCAAAACAAGAAACUUGACCAGAAUAGAUUGAAAACAGAAGUUGUUUUGGGUGCCUAAUGUUCUUGUGUAUCCAGCUUCCCUCCCCAACUAGAAGCUGAAAUUAGCACUGCCCAAAAAUUGGGAAAUUUUUUUUUAAUAAAAUAUCCAAUACUGAGAGUUUUUAUUUAUUUAUUCUGUACCUUUUUCAUCAGAUUGCUGGGGUUCCAGGGGUGACUGAAGCGUUAUAUCUAGCUAGACAGUCUUCCCUUGCUGAAGAGAAAAAUCGGUUAAAUGAGACCCCCAUGCUAUAUAGUUGCAGCCUUUGCGGCAAGGGAUACAGAAGUUCCAAGGCUCUUGGUCAGCAUCUUAAAUCACGAAGUCACAUCUUGCGGGCUUCCCAAAGAGCAAGUCAUCAAGAUGAAGAAACUACAAUAAUCAAGCCACUAACUCACCGCACUGCAAAUAAGCCUCCCCCACAAAGAGAGCCAGUCAAUGAAGAAAGUGAAGAUGAGUGGGAGGAAGUCAACCCAGAUGAAGAUUUGGUUGGUGAGGCCACUGAAUCCAUUACUCAAAUGAAUGUGAAUGAGCAUGCAUCAAAUGAUGACAUGGAUGAAAGUGAUGAUGACGAUGAUUUUGAGAUAAAAUUGGAUCCAACCUGUUGCUUCAUGUGUGACCAAGAGCAGAACACUAUAGAACGUUGUAUCGUUCACAUGCACAAGCAGCAUGGGUUCUUCAUUCCUGAUGUUGAGUAUCUGAAGGAUCCAAAAGGACUUCUUACUUAUCUUGGCCUUAAGGUAACGAGUUAUAAGCUUGUGCUCCAUUUUUUUCCUUCAUUUGUUUUUUCAAUUUCUCAGUUUUGGGCCAGUUACCCCUUUAAAACUUCCAUACAAAUGUUAUUUAAACUUUCUGUCUUCUCUAUAAUUUUUCAGGUGACAAGGGAUUUUAUGUGUCUGUAUUGCAAUGACGGAUGCCAUCCUUUCAACAGCUUGGAAGCGGUUAGGAAGCACAUGGUGGCAAAAAGUCACUGCAAAGUGCAUUAUGGUGAUGGUGGUGAUGAUGAGGAAGCAGAACUGGAAGAGUUCUAUGAUUAUAGUAGCAGGUCUGAUCCUGCUCAAUGACCUUGACUUGCUUAUUUCAUUAUUCAAACUGCCAAAAAAUACAAUUAUAUUCUUCUGUCAAUAUGUUGAUAGAUUUUAUAUUCACUAUCCCUCUCUUGGUAUAGUUAUGUGGAUGUCGAUGAGAAACAGCUCGUUGCAUCUGGUGACAUGAACAACACUGUUGAACUUGGAUGUGGUGGAUCAGAACUCAUCAUAACUAGAAGAACUGAUGGUGGAAUAUCAACCAAAUCACUUGGAUCCCGUGAAUUUCUGCGCUAUUAUCGCCAGAAGCCUCGCCCCUCGCCUAUGAAUGGUGCUGCCAUUACUGCUGCAUUGGCCUCUAGGUUUGUUUUCAUUUCCCCUGUUUCAGCUGUUUGUCUAUGGUUGGUUGGUUAUGAGGACUCACAAACCUAAACCCUUGCUUAUAAUUUUCAGGUAUAGAAGCAUGGGGCUGGCAACAGUGCAGUCAAGAGAGCAGAUAGUGAGGAUGAAGGUGAUGAAGCAGAUGAAUAAAUCCGGGGUAGAAGCCAUGCGCUCUAAGAUUGGUAUGAAGAGUAAUGUCAUCCGAAACCUCCCCAAUAAUGUCCCAUAUUAGUUUUAUACUGACCUUCCUGAAGAACAUGAAGAGCUAUUUAUUUUCUCCUCGAGUUAAAAUUAUUGCUUCUCAGAAUGAUUUUAAAGCACUGCUAUCAUUUGUUUAUGGAUUUUCCCCGAAGUACUUGAUAAUGCUAAAUCUUAAUGGUUUGAUAAAAUUUUAAUAUAUUCUUUCUUUUCCUUUUAAUUGGUUGGUUUGGUAAGGUUGGCUAAAGCACUUUGUCAUUAGACUAGGGCAACCUCAAUGAAACCCUUUCUAUUUAAAUAUUAGUACGUACAUACAUACAUACAUACAUACAUAUAUAUAUAUAUAUAUAUAUAUAUAUAUAUAUAUAUAUAUAUAUAUAUAUAUAUAUAUGCGUGUUUGGGGUAUACAGUAUGUGUUGUGGGGAGAUAUGGAUAUGGUGUAUGUGUGUGUGUGGAUAUGGCUUUUUGAUGCUUGUACUCUUCAAAGUGGGCUUGAAAUAUUCAACCCUCACCAAAAGUCAAGUUUGGAAACUAUACACCUAUAAGAUUUAUUCAACCCUUCUCCUUCACCCAAAGUGGAUCGAAGUUUGGUUGUCUUUCCCUCCCUCGAAUGGUGAAGUGAAAAAUAUCAUUUUCAUAUUAUUUGGGAUCCUCUCGAGACUUUUCCCUUUUUGAAGGCUUAUCUUAUUUUUCUUUCUUCCCUAUGUUAGAAGUGAAGAUCACCAACCUCAAAUUAUGAGAGAAUAACAUGAGAAGAGUUCUCUGACCCAGAAGCUGAAAAGCCUUGGUGAGAGAGCUCCUUGAAUGUUAAAAGCUUAGAUGCCUCUUUGUUAUUUGUUGUCAAAACCAGUUUUUUGAAAAUAUUCCCCACUAGAUCCUUUUACUUUCUCAACCAUGAUAACGUUUGAAUAAAACUCUCAUUUCAUAAGCCUCACAUAGUCACAUUACGUAACAUGACUCAUCCAUAUCUUAAACAAACAAAAAGGCCCCUGCUUUGAAAAACAAAUUUUUAUUGAAUGAAAAUUUGUAAAAUAAUCAAGCGUUUACUUCUGUCACUAAACGCAUUAAAUUAAAACACUAUUCCAAACAGGACUCUGCUGUGUUUCCAAUUGGAAAUAGAUGCUCACUUCAUGAAACAGGAGGCCAAUGUGGUACAAUUUUACACUGCCAUAAAAGCAUACUAACUGAGCAACUAAUCCAUAAGAAAAUACCCUAGCAAUGUAUUAGGAUUGGGUGGGUACAGCCUCUUUUGAGCCCCACAGGGACGUCAGAUGAUGGUGUUGUGACCAUUUCCAAACCAAACUUGUGUAAACAUACUUGUGGGUUUCCUCUCCUCAACCCCCCAGAACAAUGGCAGAUGGAAGAGACCAUACAGAAGAAUCUAAGCACAAUCCAUUCUUUUGUAAACAGCAGCAACCGCAAGGUAAAAUAGAAUAAACAGCACAUUACUGAUUGAUCCGAAUACAUUCAUACCCAGAUAUCAGUAAUGCAGUAAAACAAAAUAUGUCAGUCAUCAGUUGAAACCAGCAGGACUAUCCAGGUUAGUGAGAGUUUCAUCUCUUCAAGCUUCUAUUGAAAAAAGGGGCAAAAAAGAGCCUACUUAAUGUACUUGAUGAAAGACAAACUUAGACAACCAAACCGGUCACAGCAUAAUCACACUGCAUAGUGAAGGUGAGUUUGGAAGUCAUUUCUAACUGGCAAACCUAAUUACAAAGCAAGGAAAUUCCAUCGGGAUGUAGCUCUUACAUGCUUCAAUGACCUAAACAGUAACUCGAGCUGGAGAAAGCAUGAAAGAUGAUUUCCAUUUGCAGUGGAUCAUCGCCUUAAAAGCCUUUCUUUCUGUCUGCUGUUUCACUCCAUUUCUAUUAAAACACAGAGCAGACUUGAGGAGUUAUAUAACCAAAGCUUUAUGACAUGGGGGCAAACCCCUCUCACAACUCCUGCCUUGUACAGUUAUUUGUAAUUGGAUUUGAAAAAAGAUAUGAUUUGGUUCUUUGUACACUAAAAUAAAGCCAGAAUGAAAGAGAAUACAAAAGCUAUAUAUCCAUGCUAGUGCAUACCUAAUUGUCAUAGAAGCGAGAACGGCGUCUUCGAGAACUGUGAAAUACAAACAGUAGCCAGACCUAAGUGAUUUUGCAUUGAAUAAAUCAAAAGAAUACAGCCUUUAAAAAAAUUCAGAUGAAAAACCAUGACAGUUUCAGCACUAUAUUUUCUCAUGCGGUAACUUAAAUAGCUCCAUUCAUCAUCUACUACACGGAAUAUUAAUUGAAGAGAUAUUAAGACAAUGGAAAUUGAGGAGAUGUUUCAGAAAGGGUAGAACAGGCUGAGGUCUGCGAAAGAACAUAUGGAGAAAAGACAAAUUUGGAAUGUUGGAGUGGAGGGAGCCAUGGCUUCAUCCCAUAACAUUUCAAAUAGAUGCAUAAAUGGAAUUGCAGACAAACCUUUUAUGUUUCUUGUUAUUCAUGUAAAAACUUCUGAACAAGCAUAUUCACAUAAAAUGACUACCUAACACCCUUCCCAGUCCCACCAAGAAAAACGCUACUAAUAUAUUCAUUGGUCUUGAACUCUCAACCUUGCAUGAGAGUAUAGAACAGCAAAGCACACCAGACAUCAAUGGGCUAGAAGACUCAUGAUGUAGUGGGAACCUUAUACAUGGGAAAUAACAAACUUGCCAAAAUCAUGAACCACAUGUCAUAGAACUAAGGUCUGAAAUUCGUGAUCAACUAAACAUGGAGAGGCAUCUCAUGGAAAAGAAAGGGAGCAGAAUAAAAAAUUUAUACCGACCUGCGAUGUCCAGUGCUGCCCCUCGAUCCACUACUUGUACUCACUAACUCAUCAUCGGUCUCAUCGGCUCUAUACUCUGGAAAUUCAACAGAUGUCACAGAACCCUCAUCAGAAUUUGAAGUGUCAUAACUUGAACGCCGACUCCCUCUUCUGGCAUCACUGACUCUUGCCCUUCUUCUGUUUCUAGAAGCCCUAAAAUUAUCAAAUACCUGAUACAAAAUACAGGAUGUCCACCAGUUGCCUUCAUCCCCAGGAAAGUCCUCAAAUUCAUCUCCAGUUUCAUCAUCCCCAUAUUCAAUCACAUAGUCUCCCAAAACCACACCACGAGGGACUUCUGAAUGAAUGGUGCUCAAAACAUCUAUGAUUUCAGAGGAUUGCUGGAAAUUCUCCCAGUCAAGCUGCCUUGCAGGAUCAAUUUUUGAUGGACGAGCAUGAGGAUGCUCCAAUUGAGCAUGGUUCCGAAGUUCCAAAUAAGUUCCCAUAAAUGCACAUCGUUCCUCUGCACAACAACGCUUUUUCUCAUCCAGUUGUUCCCGGGCCUUAUCAACAACAAUCCACCCAGUAACUUCCCCUCUACACAAGGGGCAAGUUGGUCUGCAGCUGUCUUCAGACAACUGUUGGAUGUUUUCUGCGGAAGCAGCAGCAGCAGCAUCAGCAUCAGCAUCAGAUGUUGAAGGGGAUUUCAACUCAGAUGACAUCCCAUAUGCACUUUUGAAUCGUUCAAGACAAUUCGAGUGCAAGUGGUCUGUGUCACAAACAAAAGGACGGCAUCCUUUCUCAUAAGAUGAGCAUUGGAGAAGUACACCAUUAUGAGGGAAAUCCAAACAUAUAGGACAAGUCACAUCUUCCCAAUUGGUGUCCAACUGAACAUUGUCCAUGUUGAAAGUUUUGGGGUGAUCCAGCGUUCCAAAAAAAUAUUCAAAAGCCAUUAAGAAAAUAUUCACAAUAAAAUCCACAAGCACACAGUAUCCACCUUCCUCUCUGGGUCAGAAAUGCAGAAUAAACCAAAGAACACUAGGAGAAAAUACAAAGUACAAACCAACUAAGCAUGUUCAUUAAAAUCAAAUAGAACAAGCUCUUGAUCUAUUCAUAUCAUCCCAUCAUACAUAGCUGCACCUGUAAAAAGAAAAAGGACCAUUAAUAGAAAUCACAAGUAGAUGAAGGAAUGAGACCAUGCCAAAAAAUAGCAAUAUUUCUACAUUUUAGACAGACAACCGUAAUAGAAAAGAGGGCAACAAUGUCAAACUUCCAAUCAACUCUUUUUAUAGCAGCUGAAGGUCCGAUCUUGAUCUUUUUUAUGGCUGUUCACUCUUAUUUUAUCAAUAGAGCAGCAAAUCAGCUCAAAGAAAACACUGAGAUCAGAGAAGUAAUAGCCCCCACACCUCAAUGAAAUUCCAAAUAAAGAGAAAACAAAAACCUCUAAUUGGUAAGCCGCAGGCAAGAAGUGAUACCAAUCUGAGAAAAGACUCAAGAACCGAUUCUCCACAGCUAUUAAUGCCUCAAAUAGGCUGAAAUACCAUACCCACAAAAUCAAGCUUAACUGCAUGCAAUCUCUUUGAUUUUCUAAAAUAGAAGAAAACAAAACAAAAUGCAUACAAUAUUUUCCACAUAGAUAAAUUACAGUAGGCAACAAGCCACAGAUGAACCAUUGCUAAAACUUGAUUUGAAUUAACCCACAUUCAAUUGAGCAGAUAGACAGUCUAACAGAAAAGAGGACAUGCCAACAAAAUAGAAUAAAAACUAAAACAUAAAAAUAAAUAAAAAAUGCAUCGGUGGGAAGAUUGAGAUAGCACCGACUGAGGAUAACCCAAGGAAAAUUUGUCUUGGAUGAUUCUCGGCUCAGUGAGAAAGCGUGGUUUGAUAAAGUAGAAAGCAUCACAAAAAGGAAGUGGGUCAACAUAGAGAGAAGAAGACCAAGACACCCGUUAUUUAAUGGAAGAACGAACCCUAGAUAGAGCUUAAAUUGGAGAAUGAGACUCUUGAUAACUUUCCCAAUAAUAGGAAAACCCCUGAAAUGAAUUACCAUAAAGUUCAUCUAAACCACAAAUCAGAUGCUCCCAAUUCAACAAAAAGAAAAAUUGGCAGCUUUAUAAUUCCAAAAAUUGGCCGAAAAUCCUACAGUAAAUUGGAAAUUCAGUGAAAUUGUGCUAAAAUUUUGGGAUUAUCGAAAUUCAGCAUGCAAAGAAAUCAAUCUUGAUCCCCAGUAGCAAGCGGUUUGGAUGGCAAAAGCAAAAAUGAAAUUGACCAAACGGUUUUCGCUAAAGAAGAAUUAGUCAACACCCACUACAUAUCAAUCAACAAAUCAUCCAAUCAAACAGGCAAAGAUCGAUAAAAUCGUGACAACACCAAUCGGCAAUCAGAGAGAGGUCAGAGUACAAGGGCUCCCAACAACAAAUCAAAAGAUGAAUGAAACAAGCAAAAUGAUUACUGUAACAGAAGUUGAAGAGAAAUCAGAUCAAAAACAGAUGAAAAUGGAAAGGAGGGGUUUUGACUUUUACCUUCAGAGGGAGAGAGAGUGGUGGGUUCUGGGGAGGAUGAAGAGAGUACGGUGGGUGAUUGGGAAGAGAGAAGAGAGGAGAGAGAGAGAUGAGGUCUGUUUGGGAGUAGGUAGGGUCUGUACCAUGUCUCUGAGUCUCUCUUUUCCAAAAGAAGGAUAAAAAGGUAAAAGGAAAGAGCGAUCCCCAUCCUUUAAUGACCUAAAUGCCCUUUUCAUACAGUCACUUCCAUUUUUUUAUUUUUUAUUUUUUAUGAAUAAAUAAAUUUAUAUAGAAUUAAAAUAAUUAAAAUUUUUAUCUUCCCUGAAUAAAUAAAGUUAUAAAAAGGGAAAAAUUAUAUUUUAGAGCUUUUUAAUGACAUAUAAUAGACUUAAAAGAAAAAAAAAAGGAAAGAUACAUAAUUGGUCACAAAUCUAUAAAAAUGGACAUUAGAUAAAAAUACUAAAAUAGUCUUCAUACUUGAUAAAGGGUCUAACAGUAAAAUUGGAAUAAAUAUGUUUAAAAAAUAAAUGUUUAAUAAGAAUAUUAUAUAUAUAUAUUCUUUCCUUUUCAUAAAAAUAUAAAAUGACUCUCAAAAUAUUUAUUAGAAAAGAUAAAAAUAAAAUAUAUUUCUACACGCUCAUCUAAAAAUAAUUAUAAAAUAAAAACCUUUUAAAAAUAAUUCUAAAUUUUAUGCACUUUAUCUAUCAAAUAUUAACUCAAAAAUAAUACCUAAUAUGAUCGAUCACAAAAUGUAUAAAAUAUUAAUUAAUUUUAAAUAACUACUUAAAAUUUAUAUUUUAUAAAUUUGAAUUUGAAUUUAAAUUUUAUAAUUUUUUUUUCAUAUGGGCCUACAAAAAAACUAAAUUUUAUACGCUUAUCAAUCAAAUGUUAACUCAAAAGUAAUACCUAAUAUGAUGGAUAAAAAAUGUGUGAAAUAUUAAUUAUUUUUAAAUAACUAUUUAAAAUUUAUAUUUUAUAAAUUUGAAUUUAAAUUUUAUGAUUUUUUUUCAUAUGAACAUACUAAGAAACUAAGAUAAUUCAAUAUUUAUGUUGAAAUCUUGCUUUGCACCGCGUGGAUUUUGUCAUUAUUAUCAAUCAAUUAAAAAAUGAAACAUUAAAAAAAAAACAAAUUUCUUGACAAAAUUGGAUAUUUUGCGUUGAAAUUUUGUUUGACAAGACAUUAAUUUUUGUCAUUGUCAUCAAUUAGAAUUAGGAUUAUAACAACCAUGGUUUCGUCGUUACGAGGGAUGUUGCUUUCUAUAAAAAAAAAUAUAAUAAUAAUAAUAAUAAUAAUAAUAAUUUUAGGUCUCUAAUUUUUAUUCAGAAAUCUAUAAAAAUAAACAGUCAAAAAUAGUCUUCUUACAUGAUAAAAGAUAUUCAAUAAAAUUGGAAUAAAUAUGCCUACAAAAAUAAAUAUUUAAAAAAAUAUAAAUAUAUAUCAAUAGAUUUUUUUUUCCUUUUUACAUGUGGGUAUUCUUUUAUAUGGUUGAACCAAUUGAUUAAAAAUCUAAAAUAACUUACAAAAUAUUUAUUAGAGAAAAAAAUGAAAAAAAAAAAAAAGAUAUGGACUUAAUAUUCAAUUAAAAAAUUAAAUAAAUAUAUAAACACAAAACCAAAGACAGUUUAUUGAGAAUAAUUCAAUAUUUGUGUUGAAAUUUAAAGUUUCUUGACAAUAAUUUAAUAUUUUUGUUGAUUAUCAUUGAUUAGAAUGAGAAGCAUAAUAAUCGAGGUUUUUAGAAAUAUUGUUUGCUAUAAAAAAUUUUGAAAUUUUAAGUCUUUGCUUUUUAUCGUGUUUUAUAUAUUUAUUUUUUUAAAGGUUAUCUUCGUUUCUAUAUAUAAUAUAAACUAGAAUAAAAAGUGAGACGAUAUAUUUUAUCCUAACAAUUAUCAUAUUUUAUAUUCAACAUCGUUUGUGUAAGUAUCAAUUUUUAUUUAUUUGUGUAUAUUAUUCAUUUUGUUGAUUAAAAAAAAAAGGUUAAACUUACAAGAAAUUAACUAUAUAUAAUAUUAUAAAAUAAUACUAAUAUACGUUAUUAUUUAAUAUAAUAUUCGAUAUAUAUUUUCUACAUAUAGCAAUAUUUUUUAUUUAUGAAUUUAAAUAUUUUAAUCAUAAAUUUGUUUUCAUCCUAUUUUUUUACUCUUUUUACAAUCUAAAUAUAAGAUGAAAUAACAUAUCCAUUCCAAUAUAAUGCUUAUAAUAUCAUUUUAUUUGGAUAUGAUAUUCAAAUUGAAAUAUUUUAAGAAUUUUUUUUUAAAAAAAAAGGAGAAUGUUGUAAAAAAAGUAAUGAAAAAUAUAAAGAAUAGAUUAUAAAUUAUCUUCAGAGUUUCAGACAAAAAAUUUGUUCGUAAAAUGUUUUUAAAAAAUAGUUAUUAAAAUAUUGUCAAGACCCAAGUUUGUAGGAGGACAAUAAAUUUUCCUCCCCCUAGAGACCUGUUUGGAGUACCUGAAACAUAAGACACAGCGAUGCAGUUUCAUGGACAAUUAAGGAAUACAGAAGCUCCACUAAUGGCUGAACUGUUAGCUGUCCAAAAGCUCAAAAGGGGAAAAGAAGGCGAAGAAUAGACUAAUCUGGAAAAACCUAAAGGGAAGCUGAAGCUAUAAUUUUUUUUUUUGACAUCUCAAAGUUUUUCUGUAUCUGUUUGAAUCCCGGAAGAUUUUAUCAGCAUUUUAUAUAAAAACAGUUUCUAUACAGAGGAUAUAGCUUUAAUGUUUCAGCAUUUAACAUUUUCUUACUAGAAAUUGUAGAGGCUGACAGCAUCCAUCCAAUUGAGAUGAUGAAGCUCUCAUGUUAGCAGGAACCCAGAAGACAAUAAUCAUCUGUCUGAUAAGACUGAUGCACUCCAUGAAAGCAUGACAUCGCGGGCAACAGCAGGCAAGUCUGUAAAACCAAGGAUGGAAGAUUGAGGAUUAGAUCGGAUCAAUCUAUGAGUGAAGAUGUGAGGUUUAGAGGUUCAAUGAAAGUUUACCUCUUGCUACUUCCAGAGCAACUGAGGGUAUGUCUAUGUCUCCUUCCACCAAUCUAUACACAUCAACAAGCUAUGGAAGAAGGAUUGAUGUUUCAGCAAUCAUGUGAUGAAUGGUAUUAUGAACUUACAACGAUGGAUAAAGAAGAAGAGUUUUCAGAAAUUAUUAACCUCUUGGAUGUGAAGCUUGGAAUCUUCAGUCAAGGCAAGGAGAAGCUGGCGGCGGAUUCCUUCGUCGAUCAGGAAAAGGCGAGCUCCAUCCUUGAUCGUAUCUGUGAGGUCCAGUUUCCUUUCAACUUGCAGGUCUCUGGAGCUUUUUCUGGAAAAAGGGAACGGAUGUAAAUAUCGGUCGAUAUUACUCACAAGCAGGAUGGGAAACAAGAUGAGAGAGACAUGACAAGAUACAGACGUGUGCUUCACUUUUAAUGCAGGGUUGCUGCUCAUCUUGGCCACAUUUUCCUUUGCUAGAACAAUAAGGUUUUCAAGGCGUUUCCACUGGAAAACACCAUCUUUGAAAAGAACCUGAAACCCGAAUCAGAUCAUUGGGAAAGGAAAUGGUUUGAAAGAAUAUCCUUUGCCUUGUUACCAGGGCAAGUCAUGUGACAAAUGGAGUCAUUAAGAAUGGUUUUGGACAUACCUGUAUGAGGCGUUCACGUAGAGCAGGAUUUGGGUCUGUUAAAAGGCGCUUUGCCACAUAUGGAUAGGCAACCUAGAAGACUGCUUGUUAUCAAUGAAUGUGUUGUAAAGAAAACGAGAUGAUAUAUAAAUAUUAAAAGGAAAAGGCAUUCAGCUGUUGAAACAGUUCAAUUUCAAGGGUAACAAGGAAGCCGUUGUUUGUAAUUCAUAAACAGAGUCAUAUUGACUUGUACAGCUCUGUCCAAGCACGCAUUGACAAGAAGGUUUAAAAAUCUUUAUGAUGUACUAGGUCUACUCCACUUUGGCGUUUUUCUAUGAUAUAUUUAUCCAAAAAGAAGUAUCUUUAAGAAAUGUGAAUUAGCAUGCAUCACCAAGAACCAAACUAAGAUGAGCCCUAAGUAAUCAGAUAAUUAUAGUCAUUUGUUCAAUAGAAGGAAAAAAUGAUUUCUUCUGUCUUUUACGUUUUCUUCUUUUCAUCUUCUGAUGUAUAUGAAAUAAGAGAGCAUGGAAACUAUCCUAAGGUUUUCCAUAAGCUUUAGGUAGCUGCAUCCUCUGGAGGAUGAAUUUUUGCUCAGCCAGUGGCCUCAGAAUCACUACAGGGAUUGCAGCCUGACUGCAGUUGAACAAAGUUUGAGCUACAGAAAAUCUUGACAGGCUGAGACUGUCUCAAACCUUAAACAUAGUUGAGAGCCCAAGCUUACUGAAAAAAGAGGGGAAAAAAGAAUUAUGUGCAGACAAAACGAGUUAGGUGAUAUGAUUUUUAACCCGCUGUUUUGGUGCCCAUAUGCUGUGCAUAACCAGCAGAAUGACAAUCAAAUUCAAACUAGAAGGAAAACUAAUCAGUUCCAACCACAGUGCUUGAGAGGAUUACAGAUUAUACCACUACUGAUACCCUUGGCCCCUUCCUAGUAGUUCAGAAGUUUCAUCAUGCAAUUACCAUAAAUAAAAAAAUCCAAAAUAAAAUACAAUAUCAUAAUGAAAAAACAAGAAACAAAAACUGUUCACCUCAAGAAAUUUGAAAUCUGGUUUCAGUGUAAAACAGAUGCCCUCUUGAGUCAACAAAGAACGGAUGACGAGAGAAAACCUCUCUGGUAUACGAAUGGGAUAUUGGUAAACCAAUUGAUUGAACUUCCCUGCAGCAUGUACAGCACAAGUCUUAACUCUUAACUGGAUCCACAAUAUACAGUAGAAUUAACUCUUAACUUGAUUUAACUUGUGUUUUUGUUUUUUUUUUUUUUUGGGUCCAUUGCUAAUUUAUACCUACAACACAGCAUUUUGUUAGACAACUUAAGGAACAUACCUAGAUAAGCACCCUAAAUGAAUAGACCAUGAAAUAGAACAUAAACAAGAAUAGGAUAUGAAAUGCACCAGUAACACUUCGGAAAUUAAAGUCAGAGAGUCCUUUUCCAGAUGAGUUCUGCCAAAUUGCUUCUAGUGCUGGAAUAAUGGGGGCAACAUCAGUCCCACUAGCAAGGAAACCAAGCCUAGUAAAAUCAUUUGCCAUCUCAACAUAGUCCUCAUUUACAGCAUGGACAACCGCAUCUAUCAAAAUCUGUUUAUUUUGCUGGAAAAAAAAAAAAAGGAAUACGAAGGUAUAAGUUAUUGGGUAAACAUUCUUCUUCAUUCUAUGGGGUUUUUGUACAUGCUUUGUAAAGUUUUUUCCCCUUUUAAGUUCCAAGAUUUCUUGCCUGUUUAAUACUUGUUAUUUUUUCAAACAUUUCCUUCAACACCCUUGGUCAUAAUCAUUCUUGACUUUAUGAAAUUAUUGGCUCAAAAUUGUUCUUGUUUUUUCUGAUAGGUAUCCUUCUUUUUUUGUCUUUACUAGAAUUCAACCCUGGAAUCUCCCAUAUUUCCAACCCAACUCCUUGCUACUUGAACUAGGCAUCAAGGAUGUCCUAUGAACUCAUUUUGUUAAAAAAAUCAGCCAUUAGUAGAAGUCAUACCCUUGAACAGUAUGACUAUGAACAUAGAUUCGUUUUCACUUUUCACCGGGGAAAAUAUACCAAUUAGUUAGAUUUGUACUCCUUAUAUUAUUUACAAGUUUGUUCCACCUUCAAGGGUGACUAGUUUACCUUCCAUCCAUCUAUUUUCUUCCUUCAAACUUUUUGGAUGGACAGACAAUUCUUACUCCUACUUACCCUUUAGGGUUAUAUCUACAUGAAAAUAUUAUUGCUAAUGAGAAUCAAUGUCGGGCAGAGGGGCAGUUCCCUUUAUUUCACAUUUUGUUAUGUUCAAUUAUUUACCUUCUUGUUUGCACACUUUCUGGGGAGAGAGUUCGAGACAUAAAUAUGGUUUUAUUCCCUCUUCAUCUUCUAAUCUCCUUCUCAUCCUUUGUUAAUAUUGCUUAUGUUGACCACUCGAUUAUUCUGACAACUUUAUUAUCCAUUAAAAUCAGGGAGAGAGAGAGAGAAAGAGAGAAAUCAUCAAAGUGAUGAGUGCAGUAAAAAAAGACCUGUUUGAGAAAAAGUUCCAAUUUUGCAACACAGGCAGAUUUUCCUUAGUAUUGAAAAUCCAGUCAUUUGGUUUAUCUUCCUUUAAGCUAGAUACAUGUUUGACAUUGAACUUUUCCUGUGCAGUCUCAUCAAACAUAGCCCCCUCAUGUAGACUUGUGUGCAUAAGCAGAUGGGAAAAGAGACAAUCUAGAUGUACUGCCAAGUAAAUCCAGUUUUACUGUUCCUUAAGAAAAUAUCCAGAAAGGAGGAGAUGAUUCAUUCUAUAUCAAAGCUAAGAGCUAAUCAGGACAUAUCUACUUAUAGGAUAAUUCCCAUUGAAUAUCUUUGAAGCACAUAAGAUUCACCUGACUGAGCACAGCAACAUUACCAAAGUCCACAUACGCAAUACGUCCAUCACGCAUAGCAAAAAUAUUUCCAGGAUGUGGGUCUCCAUGGAAUAACCCAAAUUCUAGCAAUUGUCGCAAAGCAGCACUCACUCCAACUGUCAAAAAUCCAUUUACAUCAAUACCCGCUUCCUUAAUAGCCUGAAUAGAAUGGAAGAAAAAAAAAAGUGAGCUAUCUCUCGCAAUGUUGCAAUAGGAAAUUAAUAUAACACCAUACUAAUGGUCAUCAUCUAUCCCGACAUCCAAACCUGUGGAUCAGUGCACCGAAUACCAUCAAUCCAUUCCAUGACUAAAACACGUGAACCAGAAAGCUUUUUGUAAACCCGGGGGAUUUUGACAGUAGGAUCAUUUUUAAAGUUCUCCAGAAAAUCUUCAAGAUUACGAGCUUCCUGGUAAAGGAAAGAAAUGGAGUAAAAACCAAAACUACAAAAAAGUACCACAACAACUGCAAGGUAAUUUAAUUUCCAUGGAGGUCACAAAUAAGUUAAUGGACGUCAGUGUCAUACAGCUAAAAAGCAUCAAAUCCAAAUCUCCUAUCUGAUGCAGACACAUUCAUUUUUUUUUUCCUAUUCUCUACACACAAUUUUUUUUACUAUUUGCAAGGUAGAGGAGGCAGUUUCAGAAAGUACCAAGGUGUAAUCAAGCUCCUCCAAAAGCUUCUCACCAAAUUCAUCCACGAUCAGUUCAGCAUUGCAUCCCAGUUUCUGCAGACUGAUGCCAUUCAAGAAUGAAGCGAGAGUACGGAAGAGAAAGAGAUCCCGAUAGAUUAUAGGCUCUAUCCUUGGCCUUUGCACCUGUAGGCAUUAAAAUUAUUGUAUAGAUUAUGGUGUUUGAAUUAUUUUAUUUUAUUUUUUGGAGUUGCAAAAGCAACUUCUAUAAAGCUCAAAGUUAAAUUAAAAAAACAAACAUAUAUAGAUAUGCUUAAAUAUAAAAGAGGAGCCAGAAAUAGUGCUUUGAUAAGCAAAAGAACGUUUCACCAUUAAUAACUAGUUAACUAGAAAAGGACUAGAACAGAACAAACACAAAGCAUUCCAGUUCAGAACACAAAAGGAAAAUUAGGUUAAGUAUGUUAUUUUAUUUUGCAUUGAACUAGACAGCCAAGGACCGUCAAUCAUUGGACAGUCUGAGAUACCUGCUCUUUUUCCCCACCAAUACCUUUGCUGUUGAUAGAAAAUGGUGGUUGUAAGACAAAUAGGAGCAUUGGGAAAAACCAGUUUUUACAAAGACUGAUAUUUUGACAAAGACAUUGUAUAACAAGACCGAAUACUUCAAAAAAUUAAACUACUUUGCCACAUUUCAUGCUUCUUCUCUUUGAUAUAUACUGGUGAUGCCAUGACAUCAAAACUUGGCAACAAUUUUGUGCAUUUACGCCUAAAUGGAUUCCAUAAAAGUGUUUACAAGAAAAUAAGACAAACAUUGGACGGAUGUUAUGAUCAUAUUUUUAUCUCUAAAGAUUCAAUAUCCAAAUGGCUAAGAUAUUUAAAAUGUCAAUCACAGUAAACAACUUGCAUGUUGGGACACUCUUGAUUGACCUUUGUUUAGACACUUUUCCCAACUACACCUUUACUUCAAAAAUGUGCAGAAGAACAAGAAAAUAUGCCUUUUUAUUGUCAUAUCUAUUCAAAAACAUUACUCUACUCUUUACUAUUUUGUCCUAUUAGGUUCUUGGAAAAAUUCAAACAAAGAUAACACAUAUUUCAUAUGAUAAAUACGCAUGCAUGUGUAUAGCCAUGUCCCUUUGUCUUGAUCUGGAAGUUGCAUUUCCAACAUACUGUGUUUCAGCAACAUUGUGCUUGCACUGUAUCUAUAGAUCAUAGCCAAAAAACUUAAUCAUAUGAUUCCCAUGGGAACAUAAGGCAACAAGAAAAUUGAGAACUUUAAGAAAAGCAAGUCAAUCUAGCAAUGGAGAGCAGCAGUAUUAAGCAAAUGGAAAAAGUUCACAACUUUUGUGGGAGUGACACCCCACCACAAGGAUGAUAAAAGAAAUUGAUCACCAGAUGAAUCUUGUACAACCUUAAUAGCGACAUCCUCCCCUGAGUCACGCAAAGUAGCUCGGUAAACCUGACCCAAACUUGCAGCUGCUAUAGUCUGAGAAGAAAUUUUGCUGAAAAUUGCUUCAAGGGGUUGGCCUAAUUCCUCUUCAAUAAUGGCGAAAGCAACCUACAUCAUUGUCAAAACAUUCGCUGUCUAGGUGAAAGGAGUUCAGUUUCAGCAUGGCAAAAGAAAAAUGGCCCACUGUAAAAGUGCUAGGCUUCCAUUUAGAGCUGUUUUACCUGAUUAGGAAAAGGGGGAACAUCAUCUUGAAGAAUGCAGAGUUCAUUCAUAUAGUCUUCCCUAAUAAUAUCCGGUCUGUUAGCAAGAACCUGUUAACAUAAAGUAAGUGUACAAUCAAUACAACCAAGUGUUUCUGAUUAAAAAAGAAAAGACCAAAUGCUUAGCUAGACAACGUGAUUGUCUUUAAAUUUGUUAGCUAGUCGAGAAACUCCCAACCACUCUUCUAAAUUUGAUUUCAGAAAGACAACCUGAAUUCACUUGGGAUAAAACUCAGGCAGAAUGGCAACUCGGUUAAAAGAUGUUUAAUAGAUAGACACUUCAUUACUUAUCAAAAAAAAAAAAAAAUAGAUAAGACACUUCAUUCCUUUCUAUUAGGGUACAUACAUUUUACCACCAGUGAAUUGACUGGGGCCUUAACUCUAUAAUGAAAUUUAAAACCCAACACAUAACUUCUGGUGUUCCAAACUGAGAAAGCAAUCUUCCUUUGUCAACACAUCUUCAGUUAAAGCACAAAAAAGGAUUGCACGAGAAGUAUAAUUUUUGGUGAGAAAUUGAAAGUUUGAAAAAUGUUGCAGAGAACAGUGAACUAAUUACUUUGAUAAUGGAAGGCCGUUCAAGGGACUCUAGAUUCUUUAGGAAAUUUAAGUUAAAAUGAGUCAUUAAUUUUGGAGCAAGCUAUGAAAAAACAAUCCAUAAAUCAUAAAAGGUGAAAAUCCAGCAAAAAAUCCCCAAAUAUUAAGAAGAUCGGAAAUCUUAAUUUGUCAAAAAGUCCACCAUAAAUCAUUGCUUUGAAAUAGAAUGUCCACAUUCAGCCAAGCAAUUCACAAAUUCAAACCAUAACAAAAACUCACCAUGAUAGAAACGCGAUGGAUUCAAAAAACGACAAAGUAAGAGUUUAGGGCUAAAAUUUGACAAACCUGUCCGGCUUUGAUAAAGGAAGGCCCUAAAUCACACAGCAGAUUCCUCAGCUGCCGAGCUCGAUAAGGAACAACCUCUUCGUCCCGCCCCACCAAGCAAUCAUACAUCAAAGUCGACCAGUACAGCCCCAAAUUCCAAACUAUCUCCACACCGCGCCCAACCAGAGACAGAAUCUGCCCUCUAGAUUCCAACACCUUAUUCCUCACCUAACCGUAAACAACAAAAAUUCAAAUCCACACCAAAUUCAACACAAAAACAAACAAACAAACGAAUCAAAACACUUCCACCCAAAAAAACCCUACUGUCUCGGGAGUGUACUUGCGGAACGGAAAGCAAACUCCGCGCUCGAUGUCCAGCUGCUCCAUCGCACUACUCGAGCUGCCUACCUCCAAAUUCGCCCUCUCGCUACUCGUUCUCCUACUUGUAUAAUUGGAGGAAGUUGAAACGGCGGCAUUUGCUGCUGAAAUUCUGAGUCUUGGUUGAAGAACCGAAGAUGUGGAAGAAAAUUUUGCAGUGUAGUGGUUGUUGCAGAAGAAAUUGGAGGUGGAAAUGGUGGAGAUGGAAGCCAUGGAUGGAUUGGAGAAGAUCGAGCCCUAUAAAUUUUGGGGAGAGUGCGGGGUAGUACCGUAGUGGAAGGUUGGAGGAGAGUGGUUAUGCAAAAUUGGAAAUGCGGGGUUUUGAAAAACGGUUAGAUCUUUAUACAACCACACAAAUCGUGUCGAGGGUUGAGUAUUGGAAGUCUCUCACUGGAAGACUUGUAUGUGUACGGUAUUAAAUUAUGAAAUAUAUAUAUAUAUAUAUAUAUAUAUAUAUAUAUAUAUAUAUAUAUAUAUAUAUAUAUAUGUUGUAAAUUAAGGGAAAUGAAUGACCACAUUGAUGGUCAUUAUGAACUCCAUUUACUCAUCUUUAAGAUGAGUAAUGGGAGUUCAUAUUAUGAAGCCUAUAAAAGGCUUCUUACCCUCCCAUGUAAAAGCAUCCCGAGAAAGAAAGAAAGCUCUUCCUCUCAUUCUCUCUCUCUCUCUCUUUCACUUUCUCAAUUCUCUUAUUUGAUUCCUUCUUCCAUAUUAUAUAUCAAAGUAAGAUAUAUUUUAUCUCUAUUACUUUGAUUUGCAUUAUAUUUGUCCUUGUUUUAUAACACGUUAUCAGCACGAAUUGCUCUGAAGGUAAUUCUCAUAUCUUCACUUAAAGUUAUUUAUAUAGAAUAAAAUUUUACAUAUUUAUAUUAUUGUUGAUUUGUUUUGUUACAUAUUGUUAAAAGUUGUAAACAAAUUAUUUGAUUUUGUUUAUAAUCAAAGUUAUACCAAUGCUAUCAAGUUAUUAUAACUGAUUUUAAUAAUAUUGUUUUGUCAUAUAUAUGAAGUUAUUUGACAAUGUCGAAUAUCACAAAACUCGAAUUUGUGGCACUUGACAUUUCGGGAAAGAACUAUCUAUCUUGGAUCCUUGAUGCUGAAUUACAUCUUGAUGCAAUGAACCUUGGAGCUACGAUCAAACAAGGAAAUCAAGCAUCCCUGCAGGAUCGCGCAAAAGCAUUGAUUUUCCUUCGUCAUCACCUCCAUGAAGGUUUAAAAAAUGAGUAUCUUACGGUAAAGGACCCUUUUACUCUAUGGAGUAAUUUGAAGGAAAGAUAUGACCACCAGAAAACUGUGAUUCUCCCAAAAGCUCGAUAUGAUUGGAUGCACCUAAGGUUGCAAGAUUUUAAAACUGUUAGUGAAUACAACUCUGCACUUUUCAAAAUUAGCUCUCAAUUAAAGCUGUGUGGAGAAAAAAAUCAUAGAGGAAGACAUGUUAGAGAAAACUUUUACUACGUUUCAUGCCUCGAAUGUGCUCCUGCAGCAGCAAUAUCGAGAGCAUAGAUUUACAAAAUAUUCUGAAUUAAUAUCAUGUCUUCUUGUUGCUGAACAAAAUAAUGAGCUUUUGAUGAGAAAUCACCAGUCUCGUCCAACUGGAUCUGAACCAUUCCCUGAAGUGAAUGCAAUAUCGUCCCAAACUCGUGGACGUGGACGAGGACGAGGACGUGGUCGUGGUCGUGGAAGAAAUCCCCGAUACCAUGGUUCUUAUAGUAAUAAUUCUCAGAAAAUGAAAGCCUCAUUGCACCACCAGAAGUGGAACAAUACUGAGACAAUACAAGAAAAUGGGAAGCGUUUACAAGAUAAACCUCCUAAGAACCAUGAGAAUAAUUGUUAUAGAUGUGGUAUGAAGGGACAUUGGUCGCGUACCUGUCGUACACCCAAACAUUUGGUCGACCUUUACCAAGCAUCAAUAAAAGCUAAAGGAAAAGAGAUAGAGAUGAACUUUACCGAUGGUGAUGGAUUGGACCUAACCUACUAUGACAUUGAUUUCUUUGGAGGUCCCAAUGAAAAAAUAGACCAUUUGAUAAAUGAUGAAAAAAUUAGCAUUGAUUGAUGUUACUCGAUAUAUAAAAUAAUAUAUUAUUAUGUCUUAUAUUUACAUCUUAUUUACUUUGUUAUUUACAUUAUGCCUUGUUUUUUUUGUUAUAUCUGAAAUCCAUGUGUUAUUUGGUCUCAAGAUGAAUGAGGAUGAUGUAUGUCUCGCAGACUGUGCGACCACGCACACAAUUCUUCGAGAUAAAAGAUAUUUCCUCGAAUUGACAUUAAUAAAAGCUAAUGUAAGUACCAUAUCUGGUACUACAAACUUAGUUGAAGGCUCUGGAAGAGCAAACAUAACAUUGCCAAAUGGUACUAGAUUCCAUAUAAAUGACGCGUUAUAUUCUAGCAAAUCCAGAAGAAAUUUGCUCAGUUUUAAAGAUAUCCGCAGAAAUGGAUAUCAUAUUGAAACUAUGAAUGAAGAUAAUGUAGAAUAUCUUUAUAUUACUUCCAUUAUAUCUGGCCAGAAGCUUAUAAUGGAAAAACUCCCGGCUUUUUCCUCUGGGUUGUAUCAUACAACUAUAAAGCAUAUUGAAUCAUAUGUUGUCGUGAACCAGAAGUUCAACGACCCAAAAGUUUUUGUCCUUUGGCAUGACAGGCUAGGUCACCCAGGGUCUUCAAUGAUGCGUCGAAUAAUCGAACACUCACAUGGGCAUCCACUAAAGAACCAGAAGAUUCUUUCGCCCAAUGAAUACUCAUGUGCUGCCUGCUCACAAGGUAAAUUGAUAAUCAGACCAUCUUUUACUAAAGUCAUAUCUGAGUCACCAAUCUUUUUAGAAAGAAUACAUGGGGACAUAUGUGGGCCUAUCCAUCCACCAUGUGGACCAUUCCGUUAUUUUAUGAUCUUAAUAGAUGCUUCUACUAGGUGGUCACAUGUUUGUCUCCUUUCUACACGUAACGUAGCCUUUGCUAGACUCCUUACACAAAUAAUCAGAUUACGAGCACAAUUUCCAGAUUAUCCAAUUAAGACAAUACGUCUUGAUAAUGCUGGUGAAUUUACUUCUCAAACAUUCAUUGACUAUUGCAUGUCAGUAGGGAUAAAUAUUGAGCAUCCUGUUGCUCAUACCCAUACCCAGAAUGGUUUAGCAGAAUCCUUCAUCAAACGUCUCCAAUUAAUAGCUCGACCAUUACUAAUGAAAACCAAAUUACCUACUUCCGCCUGGGGACAUGCUAUUAUGCAUGCUGCAGCUUUAGUCCGUAUCCGACCUACAACUUACCAUGAAUACUCCCUUUCACAACUUGUGCUUGGAAAACAACCAAAUAUCUCUCACUUACGAAUCUUUGGUUGUGCAGUAUAUGUACCAAUUGCACCUACACAACGCACUAAAAUGGGUCCCCAACGAAGACUUGGGGUUUAUGUAGGUUUUGAUUCUCCAUCUAUCAUAAGAUAUCUUGAACCUUUGACAGGCGAUGUUUUUACAGCCCGCUUUGCGGAUUGUCAUUUUAAUGAGAGUGUUUUCCCAUCAUUAGGGAGAGAAAAGUCGAUUCCUGAAGAACGACGAGAAAUUAGUUGGAAGACAUCUACUAUGACCCAUCUUGAUCCUUGUACAAAUCAAUGUGAACUAGAAGUUCAAAGGAUCAUUCAUUUGCAAAAUCUUGAAAAUCAAUUACCAGAUGCAUUCAUUGAUACAAAGAAAGUGACAAAGUCACAUAUCCCGGCUGCAAAUACUCCAGCACGGAUUGAUGUCCCUGUAGGACAGUUAACAAAUGAAUCUAAGAUACGCCUGAAGCGUGGUAGACCUGUCGGCUCAAAGGAUGUAACUCCCCGGAAGAGGAGAACCCAAGAAAAACUUAGCACUCUAGAAGAGGCCAUCAAAAUGACUGAUCAGUUUAAAAUUGAUAAAUCUAUAGCCCUAGAAGAGGCACAAAUAAUGCAGAAAGCCCCUGAAGAGGUACAUAUUGAACAAGAAACCCCUGAAGAUCCACAUAUUGAAUGAGAAGCCCCUGAAGAGGCACAGGUACCUGAAAAUUGUGAGAUCUCAGUAAGUUAUGUACAAACGGGAGAAAAAUGGGAUCGAAAUAAUAUUGUUAUUAACAAUAUUUUUGCUUUCCAAGUGGCCUCUGAUAUCAUAAGAAAUGAUGAAGAUCCCGAACCACGAAAUGUGGAAGAAUGUCGACAUAGAAAUGAUUGGCCAAAAUGGAAAGAAGCUAUACAGGCAGAAUUAAACUCAUUAACAAAACGAGAAGUUUUUGGACCUGUAGUUCAAACACCUGAAGAUGUAAAGCCUGUUGGGUACAAAUGGGUAUUUGUACGAAAGCGCAAUGAGAAUAAUGAGAUCAUAAGAUAUAAAGCGCGAUUAGUAGCACAAGGUUUCUCGCAGAGACCUGGUAUUGACUACGAGGAAACAUAUUCUCCCGUCAUGGACGCAAUCACAUUUCGUUUCUUAAUUAGUUUGGCAGUCUCAGAAGGACUGGAUAUGCGUCUCAUGGAUGUUAUUACAGCAUAUUUAUACGGAUCCAUGGAUAAUGAUAUAUACAUGAAAAUCCCCGAAGGAUUUAAAUUGCCUGAUGCAAAUAAUACAAAGCCUCGUAGCAUGUACUCAAUCAAGUUACAACGAUCCUUGUAUGGAUUAAAGCAAUCUGGACGCAUGUGGUACAAUCGCCUUAGCGAAUACUUGCUAAAAGAAGGGUAUGUGAAUAACCCUAUAUGCCCAUGCAUUUUCAUUAAGAAAUCAGAAAUCGGAUUUGCAAUUAUUGCAGUGUAUGUUGAUGACUUAAAUCUUGUUGGAACUCCUGAAGAGCUCACAAGAACAACAAAUUACUUGAAAAAGGAAUUUGAGAUGAAAGAUCUUGGAAAAACAAAAUUUUGUCUCGGCCUGCAGAUCGAGCAUUUUCCAAAUGGAGUUUUAGUACAUCAAUCAACAUACAUUAAGAAAGUUUUGAAGCGUUUUUAUAUGGAUAAAGCGCAUCCUUUAAGUUCUCCAAUGGUUGUCCGAUCACUUGAUGUGAAAAAUGACCCAUUUCGUCCUUACGAAAAGGAUGAAGAGUUACUUGGUCCUGAAGUACCAUAUCUUAAUGCUAUUGGUGCACUUAUGUAUCUUGCCAAUUGUACACGUCCAGACAUUGCUUUUUCUGUCAAUUUAUUGGCAAGAUACAGUUCCGCUCCAACUCGAAGACAUUGGAAUGGUAUCAAACAUAUAUUGCGUUAUCUUCGCGGAACUACUGAUAUGGGUUUAUUUUACUCAAGGGAAUCAAAGCAACAAUUGCUUGGAUAUGCAGAUGCAGGAUAUCUUUCAGAUCCACAUAAAGGCAGGUCACAAACAGGGUAUGUGUUUAAUUGCAAUGGUACUGCUAUUUCAUGGAGAUCUGUCAAACAAACAAUGGUAGCCACAUCAUCAAAUCAUUCAGAAAUACUGGCAAUUCAUGAAGCAAGUCGUGAAUGUAUAUGGCUAAGAUCUAUGAUCCAGCAUAUUCGGGAAUCAUGUGGACUCUCCUCUAUCAAAGGUGGCCCGACAACAUUAUUUGAAGAUAAUGCUGCAUGCAUUGCACAAAUAACAGGGGGUUAUAUUAAAGGAGAUAGAACUAAACACAUUUCACCAAAAUUCUUUUAUACACAUGAACUCCAGAAGAGUGGUGAAAUUGAUGUGCAACAAAUACGCUCAAGUGAUAAUCUAGCAGAUUUAUUCACAAAAUCAUUGCCAACCUCAACAUUCAAGAAGUUAAUACACAGGAUUGGAAUGCGUCAACUCAAGGAUAUCGACAUGAGGGGGAGUAUGCUUGUAAAAGGGUGUUAGUGUACUGUACUCUUUUUUUCCUUCGUCCAGGUUUUGUCCUACUGGGUUUUACUGGCAAGGUUUUUAACGAGGCAGUCCUAAUAUACCAAGAAAAGAAUAUUGUACUCUUUUUCCUUCGCUAGGUUUUUCCUAUAGGGUUUUUUACUAGCAAGGUUUUAAUGAGGCAUAUUCUUUUAAUAUGGUGGUCAUCCAAGGGGGAGUGUUGUAAAUUAAGGGAAAUGAAUGACCACAUUGAUGGUCAUUAUGAACUCCAUUUACUCAUCUUUAAGAUGAGUAAUGGGAGUUCAUAUUAUGAAGCCUAUAAAAGGCUUCUUACCCUCCCAUGUAAAAGCAUCCCGAGAAAGAAAGAAAGCUCUUCCUCUCAUUCUCUCUCUCUCUCUUUCACUUUCUCAAUUCUCUUAUUUGAUUCCUUCUUCCAUAUUAUAUAUCAAAGUAAGAUAUAUUUUAUCUCUAUUACUUUGAUUUGCAUUAUAUUUGUCCUUGUUUUACAACAUAUAUAUAUAUAUAUAUAUAUAUAUAUAUUUAAUUUAUGUUUUAAAAACCAAAAAAAAAGCGAGAAUUGGAUUUUCAUCGAGACAUAAUUGAAGGCAUUUAGAAGAGAAAAAAAUAAAAUUAAACAUAAUAAAUUAUUUGUAUAUGUUUUUUUUAAUUAUUUUACUUAUUUUUUUCUAUUAUAUAAAAUUAAAAUAAUUUUAAAAUAUAUAAAAUUUUGACAAAUUUUAAUUAUAUUUAAUUUGUUUUUAUAUUUUUCAUAAUAAAUCUAAAUAUAAGAAAAUUAUUUUUUAUAAUAUUUUUUUCUUUAAUACUUUUUCAAAUAUCAAAUAUAACUUAAAUACAAAAUUUUGCUUCAUCCCAAAAAAAAAAUAACAACUCCUCUCUCAAAAUGAAUAAGCAAAAUAAAUAAAAAUUCAAUUAUUCAUAGUAAAUUAUCAUUAAAUGACCCCACACAAACGAAAUAAAUAUUAUGCAUGAGAUGGUUGAAUUUAAAAUGUAUCCUUUAUUCCAUCAUCAUUCUAAACCCUAAUUCCAUUAUUAUUAUUAUUAUUAUUUUUUCCUCAAUCUCUUAUCUUCCAAUUCCUCUAAGAAGUGUCCAAGACACGACCUAAUAUUUAUCGGACCAUUACGGGUCAAUGUGCUAAGCAAGCACACCCUGCUUAAAAAUCAUGUUAGGUCGAUCUAUACAAAUCAAAUAGAUGGUCUGACACAAUCUAUAAGUCCAUAGGCUAAUUAUAUUGUGUGGUGCCAAAGAAUGUGUAUGACGGACCGUAGCUAAUCAACCAUUCACUUUAUUAAAAAUUUUAAUUUAAUUUUUUUAAGUCAUUUUACUUUUAAAUUUUAUUAUUAUUAAAUACUCAGCCCAUUAUAUCCUCAAUAUUUUAUUUUAUCCUUUUUUUUUUUUUGGGCAUAAAAACAAGUGGAGGGGGCAAAACCAACAGUGGUAGCGAAGAAAGCUGACGACAUUGACUUCGUACGACAUGCCCGCUGAACAAUUAAUGACAAUUGCAGCAUGGCCAGGCGGUGUCAUCGGUCACUAUCAACAACCUACCUUUUAAUUUUAUUUAAGAUUUUCGCCUAUUCAAAUUUAGUGGGAAUAUGAUAGAAAAAAAAAUGUCAAAAACAAAUUCUUUUAUUCGAUAAUAUAAAAUGAUCUCUAGAAAUAUUUAGUAAUUUUGUAAAACAUUUUUUCAAAAUAAAAUUUAUUCCACUACUCUUAAUUUUAAAAAAUAUAUAUAAAAUACUCUUAAUUUUAUUUAAAAUUUUAUAAUUAAUAUAGAUUUUUUAAAAUAAUAUUAUAUAAAAUAUUUUAUGAUAUAUUCCUAUAAUAUUAGAGUUUCUUAUAAAAUAAGUUAUAAGAAAAAAAUGUUAUGAAAUGAAAAUGAAUUUAUAAAAAUUACACAAGAUGAAUAGAGAUGUAAGGAAUAAUAAGAGAUACGUUUCAAAAACCCAGUAGUUGUAUUUAAUUUUGAUUUUAUGUAAUAUUAUCUAUAAUAUAAUGUAAUAAUUAUCUCUUUGUCGUUGAUGUAAAUAUGAUUGAUUAAAAUUUCGCGUAACUAACUUGAUACAAUAAAUCAGUAUAAAAACUUUUAUCGACAAACAAAUUAGUAUUAAAGUUUCUAUCAAUACAAUAAUAUUUAUGAAAUAAUUAUUGAUGACAAAACACACGAGAUAAUGACGAAAAUAAAUUUUAACUAAAGGUGGGAUCAAUUGUUCUCUUAUUAAUUUAUAAUAUAGAAGAUGUGAAUAUAUAAAAGAUCGACUUAAUCAAAUUUGAUUAAAGAUAAAGAUGAUAGGAAAGUGUUUAAAAUAAUGCACUAGAUGAAGUACGUCUUUUCGUCAUUUUUAAAAAUAAUUUUUAAAAGACUGUAAAAUAUAAUUAAAGAUAAGAAUUAAUCUUUUGAAAAAAUAAAUCCAUAUAAAAAGAGUGAAUUCAUGGUUUGAAAAAAUAAGUUGAAUAUAAAAACUUAAAAAAUAUAAAUAUGAAAAUAAAAAAUAAAAAAUUAUGAAGAAGGUAUUUCUAAAAGGUGGAGACCCUUCAAUGCGUGGACAAGAAAACAAGGUGCCACGUCAAUAUCGAUUUAAGAAGUAUUUUGACACGUAUGGUCCAAAAAGAGCUAACGUGUCACAUUGAAAUAUGAAGACACAAAGGAAUCUCUCGAUGAAGCUGACAUACGAGUUAUACCAAAACAAAAUGGCUUUGGCUUCCAACCAUUACUGAAUUCUCUAUGCAUGUGAUAACGUUUUCAAAAUAACUGAUUAUUUUCAACCAAAACAUUCACUUUAGAAACAUAAAAUACAAUCCUAUGUCUCCUUUUUGAAGUAUUUAAUGUUUCGUAAAACCAAAAAAAUUUGUUCGCAAACUUUAAAUAUUCUUUAACUUGUUGUUUAUAUUUUUAAUUUAAAAAAGAAAAUAGUUUUUAUUUGCAGUAUUUCAUUUUUAAUCAUUUAUUAUAUUUAUAUCACUAUCUAUUAAAAUAUUUAUCAAAAAAUAAUUAAAAACAACAAAAAUAACCAAAAGAUAUUAUUUUACAAUUCUAUUUUUAUUUAUUUAUUUAACUGGCUUUUUGUAAACCAACUUAAUAACUUAAAGUGAAUUUAUAACUUAAUUUAAAUUAUUAAGUUAAUUAAGUAUAUUUGAUAAAAUAAUUUAAUAAUAUGAUUUAAAAUAAAAAAUAAUUUUAAGUAGUAAGUAAAACCGUUUAACUUAUUAUUAAGUUCAUAUAUUUAAUUUACAUUUUUACCUUUAUUUAAUUUAAUUACUUACUGGAUCUUCUUUACUAUUCCACCACAUCCACUAUUACUCAACAUAAUCUGCCGUAAUUAUAAUAUGUGAAGAUAAAUAUCAAUUUGAUGAUUUAAAAUGUAUCUUAAGUUAAUUUUAUAAAAUAAUCUUAAUACUUAAAGAAAAAAAUUAAAUAAUUAAUUUUAAGUUAACAAUUUAACUUAAAUUCAACGUAAAUCAUUAAAUAAUAAAUAUUAAGUUUGAUAAAACACUCACUUAUUAUCAAACUUGUACUCCUUUUUUUGGAUGGAUAAAAAAUUGAAUUAAAAAAUCAUUCCCAAAAAAUGAUCUAAUUAAGUGUUUGUUUGUAAUUGUUUUUUUAAACAUUUUUAAGUUUUUUUUUUCUAAAUUUGAAAAUAUAUUUAAUAAUUUAUAGAUUUUUUUUCAUGACUUAUCAUAAAAGUACAAUAUUAAAAAAAAUAUAUAUAAAUGAUGCAUCAAACUCUUAGCCUUUAUUUCUCAUAAAAUAUUAAGGAAAUAAAAAAAAUAUUUAGAAAAAUGGUUUUCUCAUAUUUGGUAAAAUACAAAAGAAAAUAAAAUAUAAUUAGAAUUAAUUAAAAAUUUAUACAUUUUUAAACUAUUUAAUAUUUAUAAUAAAAAAUAAAUUAAAUGAGUUUGAAAUAACAUAUAAAACAAUUUAUUAAUUAUAAAUGUAACUUUUAUUUUUACUUUUAUUUUUUAUUUUUUUUCUCUUGCAUUUUCUCUUAUAUUUUUCAAGAAUAAAACGUAACCUUAAAAAAUUCCGAUAAAAUAGAGUUUUCAUAGGUUGCUUAGACCUUCAACCUACGCCAACCCUGAUAUUUUCAUAUUGAUAUUUUGCUAACACAACCCUGACGCUAAGCUGUUCAAACUUUGUCCAUGCCAACUUGAACAUCGGGUUCGACAUAGGUUGGACCCUCUCAAGUUGCGUCCUAAUUUCAGGUGAAGCUUCGGUAGGCUACAAAACCACAGCCAUUUUAGUAUGGACGGAACCUGGGCCGAUAGGCAGGACAGAAGGCCCAAGAGUUCCAGCUGAAGCCUGAAACCUUUGGGCCCAGGUUCGGCCCAGAAAAUGAAACUGGUCGUGGUCGUAAAAGCGCGAAAAUUAAAGCAAAUUGGCGGGAAAGUGAUCUCCCGCAACUAUAAAUAUUAUCAUGAUAAAUAAAUAAAGUUCAAUUAUUCAAAUCCAUUUUCAAAUUUUCCUCUCUCAAUCUAGGGUUUCAAAAUGCAGAUGUUCUCCAGCCAGUUCGAUCCCUUCUCCGGUGGAUUCUCGUCAUCUCAGUCAACUGAUUCCGGCGUUUCGUCGGCCAAAGUGAGUGUUUAAACAUCCUUCUUCAUUUUCUUCUUUAUCCUUUUUUGAUCCCGUCAGCCCCUAAAUAAUUAUAAGAACCGGGGCUCACUGUUUUAGUUUCUUUUUAUUUUUAUUUUCUCUGUAACCAAACAGAGAGGUAGUGUUUUGUUAAGCUUAGGUUUAUAUAUAUAUAUAUAUAUAUAUAUAUAUAUAUAUAUAUAUAUAUAUAUAUAUAUAUGGUUAUUUUAAAAUUUGUAUUUAUUGCAGAGUCGUGAAACUCAAGGAUUGAUCCCAGUGACAGUGAAGCAGAUCAGUGAAGCUUCUCAUUCCGGUGAUGAUAAAUCCAAUUUCCAAAUCGACGGUGUGGAUGUUACCAAUGUAUAAUUAUAAAACCCCCUCGUCUCUCGCUUUGAUUCCAUUUGUUUUAGCGGAGAACAUUUUCCCAAGAAAAGUUUUCACUAUAGUUUAUCUCUGAGAAAAUUGAUUUCGGCUGUAGAAUAUUGAAAAUUCUAAAAUCUGGUUCCCUUUCAUCUAUUGGGAACCAAAAAGAAACCUAAAGAAAAGUGAUGUAUUUUUUAAAAAUUAUGCAGAUCAAGAUUCUUUGAUGGGAAACACUUUUUCCACGAAGAUCCUUCAUCUGGAUCUAUUUUCUGUCAAAACAAACUGAAUUUCUAUUCUGUCUUUUCCUUUUUCUAACUGAGGAAUUCCUGUUUCUGGUCUGCUUAGAUUACAUUGGUUGGAAUGGUGUUCGAUAAAUCUGAAAGGGUUACUGAUGUUUCUUUCGCUCUCGAUGAUGGUACAGGCCGAAUAGAGUGUAAAAGAUGGUAACAUUUUCUUUUCUCGUUGUUUGAUUUAAUGUUUGUGAUUAUACUAAACAUGAAACAUGGUGUUCUUCAUAAAGCAAAUGAUCAAAACAAUGCCCAUGGAACUGAUGAUAUCAAAUUAUUUUGUUUUGACAUGAAAGGGAAAUGUAGUGGGAUUUAGAUUCAAGACGAGGGAUUAGUUUAUGUUCUAUGAAUUCUUCUUUAGUAAUGAAAUUCAGAGUUUAUUUUGAUGCAUGUUUAUGGGUUUUUUUCUUGAAGGGUGAAUGAAGCUUUUGACACAAGGGAAAUGGAGAACAUAAGGUAAGCUUUCAUCUCAUAGGAAUGUUAGAUAAUAAAUGUACUUUGAUCUUUGUAUACUUCUGGGUGUAUUAUGGCUUAGAGAAGUGCUUAUACUUUUCUUUAAUAUUGUUCCAAAUAGUGAUGGAAUUUAUGUUCGUCUUAAUGGACACCUAAGAAGUUCUGGAGGCAACAGGCAAUUGGUUGCCUUUUCAGUGAGGUAUGUGUUCAACACUUUUGACUUGUUAAAUUAGUAUACUAGUUCUUAAUAUUUGUUUUCUUCAUUUUGUUUGGUCUAACAGAACCUGAAUUUUUACGUUUGUUAAAUUUUUGUUUAUUCUGAACAUUUGAAAUGCUUGGCUAGAUAAACUUAUUAGAAAAAUUAAUGCUUAACUGCAUUAAGCCCUGCAUGAUGCAUUUAUGUAUUGUGGUUGUUGUGGAUACUGGUAUCGGUUUAAACCCCAGAAAAGUGAAUUGAAGAGGCAAAAACCUAAAAAAUAGUGGAAAUUAUAUGAUGUGAAUUUCCAGUUGGCUUAUUGAUUCAUUUUGUCAAAAAAUUUGGGACAAUGUUGAUAUAUUCAGCACUACUUGAUAUUGGGAGACAGCAGAGGAGUGCACUAGAAAUACAAGGUUGUAUAUGUUGUGCUUUUUCUCAUGUUGGAUAAUGAGUUCCUGAAAUUAAUAGAUGUGAGCUCCCAACUGAUAAAAUAGUUGGGGUGGGGCAGAUUAUGGGAAACAAUUAGCUACAGUGUAUUAUAUGCUUGUGUGUUUAGUAAACCAGUUGAUGGUGUGUUACAGUGCCCUGGAUUUGGUUGUUUUGCAGGCCUGUGACAAAUUUUGAUGAGAUUGCCUUCCACUUUAUUGAGGUCAUACAUCUCCAUCUGAAGAAUUCCAAAACACGGGUAAUUGAUUUAUAGAGUGAAUGUGUUUGUGACUAGCACAUGUGUAUUUAGUUGUGUUUUGUGAUGGUUGAUUUUGUAUUUAUUCACUUUGCAGCUGCCAAGUGAUGCCCUGACUCAGCCUUUGAGUGCCUCUGUGAAGACCGAAUCAACUGGAUAUCAAACCCCAUCAAGUCAGGUAAAGAUUGAUUGAACACAUGGAAAUUUUCUUCCUUCUAAACUUUCUCAUUGAUGUGUGGAUUUGGCAUGAAAUCCCAUUCUUCCUUUUUGUAGUUAUCUGCCCAAAGUGUUGAUGGAGUCAAAGGACUCGACCAAAUGGUUCUUGACUACCUGCAGCAACCUUCAAACUAGUGAGUGAUAAAUUCUCAAUUGUAUACAACAAAUAAGUAAUACCUAGUGACAACAGUAAGCAUUGAGCUACAUAACAUGCUUUGUUUUAUAUCCAUCCCUUUUUCUUUUUGGCUUGUUGGAAAUAUAUUGUUCAUUUUUUUGCUUGAAUGCUGAACCUUUGGGUGCAAUUCAUGUUUGCAGUGAUCGAGAAAAGGGCAUACACAGGGAUGAACUUUCCCAGCAGCUGAAAAUUUCUACUGAAAAGAUCAUGUACUUUCUGUCUCCCCCUCCUUUCUGUAUUUAGUUUGCAGGGAAAGUAUUUAUCAAACUUUUUCCCAUUGCCUGUGCCAGGGAAUCCAUCAGAACUCUUGAAGAGGAAGGGUUGAUCUACUCCACAAUUGAUGAAUUUCACUACAAGUCAACCACGAGUGGAUGAUGCUCAAGGAUUUUAAACAAAAAGGCCUGGUGUUGGAAACCUAACUCAGCUAUGUCUGUUAUAAUUUCUUCCUUCUGCUUUUGACUGAAUCUGUUUGGAGGAUUCAUCAAAACAUUAAUGUAGUGCAAUCCAAUGUAGUACAUAAAAUUAAGAAUGUAGUUUCUUCUUGCUAUUAUUAAUUGAAUAGUAUAAAAAACUAAUACAAUUAAUGUUAAUGAAAAACCAGUCUGCAUUGUCACUGAUGUUUGUAGUGAUCACACAAAUAUAAAUCGAGUGGCUUCAAUCUGUCAUCAUCAUUGAGUUUCAUCCUCAAGGUUGCAGAAACCCAUGGUGAGAUCUUCAUGUGGUUUGCAUCAUCACCGGCCUUCAUCCUCAAGGUUGUGGAAGCCCAUGGUGAGAUCUUCAUUUAGUUUGGUGAACUUUGCUACCAGAGCUUCCUCGCCUUCUGCUGGAUCUUCAAAUUUCUGAGAUCUGUUGGAAGUAAAAAAAUGUUCGGAUUAUCAUACAAUAAAUACAAAGGAGGUUCAUGCCCAAUGUCACCCAAGUUGCAACCCUAAGUCUAACCCAAUUGGAUCAUAAUCAUAAAUUCAAGUUAAGCUUGAGUUGUCCAAGCCUUGGCCCAACCCGUCCAAAUGUUGGGUUGGGUCGGACCAGCUCACCCAAGUCACAGCCUUGGUAAUGUAAAACUUACACAAGACGGUAGAAAAGAUCUCCAAGACGAUGCUUGAUGAGGCUGUAUGUUAUUUUCUGCCCGUCCAUACCAGCUCCUCGUUCUACUGCCUGCAUAUACAGGUCCCAUCAAAAUAUAUUAGACUUCUUGCCCCAUGUAAAAGAUUGAGACUUGUUUGUUUCUGAAGAAAACUAAUAUUUUUCUUAUACCAAACACUAAUGAAGAGGAUGUAUUUAUUUGUAACUUGAUUUCUAUAGCUCUAUUUUGUAGGUAACACUUGCAGACUUCUUGUAUCGUAAUGGUGAUCUAACCAUUUUUCUUUUCAUUUGUCCAAUCAGAUACCCUUUGAGUCAGAAAAAAAUGAAGAAUACAUAGAGAGGAAAUAUCAGGAAAGAAAGGGAAAAAUAAGAGUACCUGAUUGGCCAAAUUAUAGAAAUGAAUAAUGUUCCUCAUCAUCCAAACUGACUUGUAAAAGGGACAAAACUUGUCAUAUCUGUCAACCAACCAAAAAAUCAAUAAUCAUGGAAGAUAAUGAAAAUUUGAUUGGAAGUAACAAAAAAUAACCCAUGUCAGUCCUACAGUGACUAAGAGUGUGCUUGAGAGUAAUUUCAAAAAACGCUUCUAGUAUUUCUACCAUUGAAUGAUAAAAAUUAUCAAGUAUUAGAAAUAUUAAAAACGCUUUUUAGAAUCACUACCAAACGGGGUCUAAAUUAAGUACAAUUUCCACUUACGGUGUGAAAGCAUUUUGAGCAAGAUAGUCCUCCCUCAAGAGCUUUGCAGUCUCCAGUGUAAUUUUAUCCGUUUCUGCCAAAGCAUCCUUUCCAACAAGCUGCAAUGUUGGAAGAUAAUCAGACUUAUCAAUUACAAUAGCAGCAAAGCAUUUGAAGCAGAGUCUGAUUUCCUAAAUUAAAUCCAAGAUUAAGAGGAAGGUGGAACCCAUUGAGCAUCUAGCAUUUUUAUGGCGUAUGAGCCCAAACUCCCCUCAUUGAAUCUUGAAAACAAUCAGAGAUCUGACAAAAAUGGUUCCCAAUUCCUGAUCCUCAUGCACUAUCCAUAUCUGGGUGGUUAAUGAUGUUGAUAUUUGUUGAAUCCCAUGUAUUUCCAGACCGCCAUGGAAAAACUGCAGGUUUUGGCACCCUAAAGUAAAUUCAACACUAUCAAGCUCAACCUCAACUCAAACCCUUCCAAAUCCAACACAUGUUUGAGAAUCACCGGGAUCUAAUUAUAUAUACCUGGACUAAUAAUUGUAUAAUCUAUAUAUUUGUACUACACUAGAAUUUAAUAUUUACAGCACUGACAGUACAAUCUGGCUAAAUUGGAAUCAUUUCUGAAUUCAACUACAUGAAUUCCAAAGCCAUGCUCAUAAUGGAGGUUGGUGGUGAUGGUUUCAGGUGAAGAGAAACAAAGUCUUCUAGAAGUUUGAGGGGAAAAACAUGCCUGGACAAUUUCAUUAAGGUCAUCUUCUCUUUGCAGCACCUCACGAGCCUUUGUCCUGAUAUUAAUAAAAUCAGGGUCAUAUUGUUCAUAAAAAGAUUCCAAUGCCUGAAAAUGUACAAAGCAAUAAGUGAGCUUAAGAAAUUAAUCCAUGGUGAGAAGGCGUUAACAUAUAAUACACCUAAAGAAAAAACAAUAGCAUCUGGUGUGUUUGAACAGAAGAACUUACGGUUGAGUACUUAGAGUAAGAAAUAAGCCAGUUUACAGAUGGGAAAUGUUUCCUCUGAGCAAGCUUUUUGUCCAAACCCCAGAACACCUGCACAAGGUUUUAUGGAAAACUAAAACUUGAAUGCCAAAAGGAGAAAUUAAAGAGUCAAAUGGAUACUCCAAGUCUUCAAUUAUAAUAGAAUGAUGGGAAGGUUCCUUAUGCUUUCUGCUUUUUUCUUAACAAUCCAAAACAUAUGAUAUUUUGUGUGUUUUGGAACACAAACAUUUGAUGAGUCUAGGUAGAACAUGGUGUUAAACUCAUUUAAAGGAGACUGCAUUAGCUGCAGUUUCUGAAGUGCUAGGAAACUUUUCCUGUGUCUCCUUUAACUAAAUGUUGUUACUCAUGAGACGUGAAAUGGGCAAAAAUGAAAAUGCUGGAAAAUUUGGAGAUUACCUGGACAAUACUAAGUGUAGCUGAUGUCACUGGAUCUGAAAAAUCUCCACCUGGUGGAGAAACUGCACCCACAAUGGUGACACUACCUGUGCGUUCUGGCCCACCAAGGCACUUAACUUUACCAGCACGCUCAUAGAAAGAGGCUAAACGUGCUGCCAGAUAAGCAGGGUAACCACUGUCUGCUGGCAUUUCUGCCUGAUUAAGAAAUUAUAGUUGUCAAUUUUCAGAGUAAGCAAAGAGACACGCUUCAGAUUACAAAAUCAAUAUUUCAAAAUGCAGUUAUAUGAAAUCAUGCCAAUUGAGCAAGUAGCAAACUAUAGAAAGCAACCACAAAGCCUGUCAUUAUUUGAAGCAAAUUCAAUCAUGGGAAAAGAAACAGGGCAGAAUCACAAAGUUAAAGAGCCUUUUCCUUUUUCUUUUUGAUGAACUAAGUAUAUUCCAUGUGAGGGAAAAGGGUAACGUUGCAGUACAGAAGAAGUACAAAGGAAAAUGAAGGAAGAUAAGAAAAACAUAGGACAAAUCUAGAUCAUCAAGAGCACCAACAGAAGAGUCAUGGUGCCCGCUAAAAAUCCGAGAACUAUUCCACAAAAAAUGAAAGAAAAAAGUUCUGACUCGAAAGACGAGGAUGAAGAACCAUAUAGUUAAUGUUCUUAGAAUUAAAUGGAGAAUUUUUUUAGAAUCUUCCAUGCUCAUUAAUUGCAUAUAUCACACUUCUCAAUUCAAUAUUAACAAUUGAUUUACUUAUAGAAAGAAAAAAAAUAAAAUAAAUAAUGACAAAAGAAAUAGGCCAUCUCACCAGUCUUCCAGAUAUCUCACGCAAAGCCUCAGCCCAACGAGAUGUUGAAUCUGCCAUCAUACUGACAUUGUAACCCAUGUCUCUAAAGUAUUCGGCAAUUGUGAUACCUGAACAUUCCAUGAUCACAUUGGUUUAGAAAAUAAUUUUGAAUAAAUAUACAAAACUUGGAAAAAUGUUGCUUCACCAAAAAAAAGCUACCAAUGGAAAUUCUCAAUGUUGAAAGUAACAGGAUACAUACAUUUGUCUACAUGCUUAAACUGUUCUGAUGUAAAUAUAGUUGAUAAAGUUAUGGCUUGAAAUGUUUUGCUCAAACAAAGUUUAGCCCUAUGAAAAAAAUGAAGGGUAGAAACUACACAUACAAAAGAAUCCCAAUUCAUAACAAAACAAUGAAGAUCAAAGCAUUACCUGUAUAAAUUGAAGCCUCCCUUGCAGCCACAGGCAUGUUAGAAGUGUUAGCUACGAGCGUAGUUCUCUUCAUGACAGAUUCUUCUCUCCCAUCAGGCAGUGUCAUUGUCAGUUGAGGAAAAUCCAUCAGAACCUAAAUUUUAUUGUAUUUUAGAUUGAACCAAACCUCUGCCAUUUCAUUUCCUCUCUCUCCACAUCCAACAUAAACCACAGUGUCAGAAUUAGAGUACUGCAAAUGAGUAGAUGUUAUGCUAAUGCAUGAGACUGAGAUAGAAGAAUUAUUUCCAACAUAUUAAAAACAAAAGCCUAGUAAACAAAUGAGAAAUACACCUUGGAAAGAGCUUGACUGAUGACUGUUUUCCCACAGCCAAAUGCCCCAGGAAUUGCACAAGUCCCACCCAGGACUGAGGGAAAGAGAGCAUCGAGAACACGCUGUAGAGUACAAAAGAAAGUAUCAGAAAUACCCAUUUCAAAAUGGUAGUCAUGUAUGGGCUAAACCUUGACAGGAUGCAUUACCUGCCCAGUAAGGAGAGGUGUAUCAGCAGCAAGCUUUGAGGCAACAGGCCUAGGUGUACGGACAGGCCAAGUCUGAAGAAAGGUAAAAUAAAAAAAGGAGUCAUUAAUCAGAUGCUUACCAUGCAGAUUUUACUUUAAGGUAAUGCAUAGAAAAUACCAAUAACCUGAAGCAUGGUAAAUUGCUUUUUGACACCUUGAAACUCAAGUUCUAGCACUGUGUCCUGCAUAUACAUAUAUGAGAGUCAACUCAUGACUGAUUGUAGAAAUCUAAACAUAAAUAGGCAAGAUAAACAAAAUAGACAUUAUUGCCUUACAAAAGACCUAAUUGGUCCAUUUCUUAUGUUUACUUAAGGCAGCAUUAUAUGAUUACAGAAUUCCUAAUUUCCUAUUUAAGAAUGCAAAUCAUCCUACAUCCAAAUGAGAAAAUGCAAAAAUAUAUUUUAAAAGAAAAAUUAAUCUUCCAACUGCAUGCAUUAUAAUGGUUUGAAUUGAUAAGAAGAAAUAACACUGAAGCUGUAUAUUUACCAUAACAUACUAAUCCGAGUUACGAGUUCAGGAAGAAGGUACAAGAGCCAACAUUAGAAACAAAAUCCAGAAACAUGGACUUAAAUGUGUAAAAAGUAAGGGGUGGUUUCAAGACAAGUCUUGAUGCAUUAAAAUAAAAUAUCAGAAAUCUAAAGGAUCUGCCUUGUUGCUGCUUCUGUCAAAACAAUAGUUCCCUCUUUGUUAUGGAAAUAUUAGUUCCGGAAGCAGUUCUUUAAAAUUUAAAAUUGUGCUUCCUGUAAGUUUUGGUAGUGGGAAAAGCUAGAAGCCUGUUCAUAUAUUUACCACCAAUAAAUAUGCAAAUGCAAAUCACUAAUGUCAUCUUCAACAUAAAAUGAAGAUACAUUUCCCAACUUCAAUCCCAACAAAAAAUCCUAGCCACAAGAUUUUAGGACAGAUUGCCAACUCAACCAUAGGAACAUAAUGAAAAUGGUCAUCAAAGUUGCAAAACAAAGAAAUUUGGAAACAAACCUUUAGUGAAUAUUGACCAGGUGGUGCUAUGUAAGUGAUCUUUCCCAUAGCAUCAGGGGGAAGUGCAACAUGGUGUUGCAUUAAGCUAUUCUCAAAAACAGACUGCAUGUAUAGGAUUAAAAUAUGAGUCAAAAUCAGAAAAAUUGAGAGAAAAGUGACACCAUACUUUCCCAAGUCAACACUUCAAUCCUAUUCUAACAAACUAAAAUAAUGUUAUCAGCUUACAGCAUACAAGUCUCCACCAGUUAAAAGAUCUCCUUCACCUGCAACAGUGAGAGGAAAGCAAUUUUAUUAGCAUCAAUGAUACAGUUAAGGACAGACCACAAACCAACUAUCACGUAUUAGCAUAUUCAAGCAGUACCUAGUUUCUUGGGCUGGAACUCCCAUAGUGUAUCUUUGUCAAGGGCUGGGACAGAAACACCACGAGGAAUAUAGACAUCACCAGAUCUCUUAGCAAUAGUCUUCAGUGGCCUCUGCAUUAAUACAAAAGAAAGCAAUUAAAUUAGAGAUUUCUACUGUGGAAGCCUAUAAUGCUGCCCAUUUGAAUAAACAAAAAUGUUGGGAAUCCAUAUAACAGAUGUAACAAAAGUGUGCAAAUAAAGCUUUUAGACAUGUAGGAGAUGACAAGAGCAUGCAUGGGGUUAAUUCCAAUUUUAAGUCUUUUACCAUCUUUUCAAGUUGUGAUUGUCACUUGUAUCUGAACAUUUUCUGGAUUACAUAUGGAUUAACACCCUGAAAAGACUAAGGCAAUUUUGCUGGCAACAAGAGUUUAUAUACCCACCUGAAUGCCAUCAAAAAUGUUUCCUAAAAUUCCAGGUCCCAGCUCCACUGAGAGGGGCUGCAAUAGCAGGGGAUAAUGAGAAAACUGAAGCUAAAAAUAAAGUAAACCUUGAGAUAAAUGAAUGCAGAAGACAUCAGGGCACCUUGUGUGUUCGUAAAACAGGGUCGUUCACCAUCAAACCAGCUGUUUCUUCAUAAACUGAAAUACACCCAAAAAAACAAAAUUAUCCCCUUGUAUUAACAUAAAAGAGCUUGAACUUUAGAAUACAAGAAGCAUUAAGAUCAAAUAUAAAAACAUGGCAGAAAUUUGGACAAACAGUAACAGAAACUUCUAAAAGUGUAAAAAGAAACACCAACUUUCCAGUAGUAGAAAAAAUUUAUUAUUGAGAUCAAAUCAAAUACUCUGCCAAAAGGUUUCGGUUACAAUCAAGGCAAAAUGCUAAUCCUCCUUGAAGGAAUAAGAGAAACUACUAAAUGGGACAGGAAUAGGUCGAACGGAAAAGGUUGAAUAUCACUCUUUAAUUUUUAUUUGAAUGGUUUCUUUCCGACAUUCCAAGCUCUUAGAUGAUCAUUCAUCUAAUGACUGAGAUAGUUCUCAGUGGUUUGAAGAUCCACCAACAUGGAAGCCUACUUGUUGAGAAACAAACACUUGAGGAUUUUAGAGGGCAUUUAUAUCCCCGUUUAUUGGGUUUCAUUACUUGGGUUGAAUUCUUACACUCCUCUUUUCCCUUCUCUAGUGGUUUCUUCUAAAAGAAACCUCAUCCACUUUUCUUCAUAUCAAUUCUUUCCAUGAUAGAUUCUUUUAUCUCCUAGAAGACAAACACUUGAAUGAAAUACCUUGGAUGGUAGCUGAAUCUCCUUCCAAUCGAAUAAUUUCCAGGAUAAGGUUGUCAUAACCAACUCGAACCAGUUCAUACAUAGCAGCUCCUGCCAUUCCAUCAGCAACGACAACUGGUCCGGACACCUGCCAAAUUCCACAACCACAGUGCAAUUAAGCACAUCCGACCAUCACUUCCAUUUCUCAGUUUGUGAAAGAGUGAUUUGCAUAAUAGCUACAAAUGGGCAAAACCCAGAUGCACAAACUAUAUCGAAAGGCAAACAAGCAAUACAAAACACCAAAAAAAAAAAAAAACAAAAAAAAACAAAAACAAAAUAAAUACUCACUAAACCAAGAUACAGAAACAAAACUAAAAAAAAGAAAGAAGAAAAUCCCAUUAUUCAUAUCAAUGCUGCUCCAUGAAUCUGAUCGUUUAUUCACAAAUCCCAUCAGAGUGAAACACUAUAGCAGCCGAAGCAGAUGAUGCUAAUUGCAAUGGUGGUGAAGUGAAAUGAAGUGCAUGAUAAAGAAUUCAAAUUGGGUUCUGGUGUAAGAAGUGAGUAUUCCAAGUGACACAUGAUCUCAAACAUGAAAUGAUGAAAACCAGAGAAAAAAAAUGAGUUACCUUGCGAACAUAUCCAUACUCGCUCUCUUUCUCAGAAUCCUCAAAUGUAGUUAAUCGAGCUCCAUUAAUGGAUGGCAUUUUCUCUGAGAUCUGAAGAACCAACUGAAGCGAGAGAGAGGAAGAGAGAAUGCGAUUGAAGAGCAAACGACAACAAUUAAAGAGCAAAACGACAGGGAAGGUAAUGAGGGAGAAGCCAGAAAGGUGAUCGGAGGAGCUAGGUCCGUCUUUAGAGGUUGUAUUAUGAUAAAAUAACUUUAGUCACCUAGACCAAUCGCCCCUAUAGCUCAGUGGUAGAGCGUCAGUCUUGUAAACUGAAGGUCCGUAGUUCGAUCCUGCGUGGGGGCAAUAACUGUUUUCAAAAAUUAAUUUUGAAAGAUGGUUUCAAAUACAUUUUUAAAAAUUUUAGAAAUAAUUUAUUUUUAGUUUUAAAAAACAUAUCUAACAGACCAGCACCCAGCCAAUCCCCUCAUUUCAGGGGUCGCUUUUUCUCUGUCUCAAUAGCUGUCUACAAACGUGUGGACGUGGUACGUGCUCCUUUCUUUCCAAAUUUCAUAUUGUCAUCAUAAUCAAUGGUCACGAUCGCUCGCAUUAAUUUUUUCCGAUGGCUAAUCCUGACCGUCUGUCGAGAUCCAUCAAUCCCGAUACACGUAAAAGAGCGGGAAAACUGUGACAGACCAGUAAGAAUUAGGAACUAAACGGUCACGUCUAUAAGCGGAGCAGUGACCGAUCCGCUGGUCACAGUCAUUUGCAACAAGCAGAGCUCCCGAAGGAGGACGAUGGCGCCCAAGAAACGCAGAGAGGGGGAGGCUCCGGUAGACACUAGUACGACAUCGGUAAGGGUGACUCGGAGCUCGACUCGCCGGCUCGGUGCGAAAGCCAACGACUCAGUGGCUCCUGCUCCUGCACCGCCGGAGCGGCCGAAGAAGAAAGUCAAGAAGACCGAGGACGUGAAAGAACCGGAGAAGGUUGCCGAUGGUUCCAAAACGAUUGUUAUAGAGCAUUGGUGAGUUUUCUUGUCUUGUCCCUGUGAUUAAAUGGUCGGAAAAAGGAAGAAAAUGGAAAGAAAUGAAAAUUUUGUGUGGUAGUUUGGUUUUGCAGGACGGAGUCAGAAAGACUAUGUGAUAGAAGUAGCUGUUCUGGUUUUCUUGGUAACUAAACAGCAUAUUUCUAUCACUAUUAUUAUCAUCAUUAUUCUUCAGGCCAAUUUUGGAUUUCGCUAUAGUUUUCAAGUUUUGCGGUGGAUUACAAGUGAAUGAUUGUUGUUACAUGUUAGCUUGUCUAUGUUCAAGAGCGUUGUAGAAUCCUCAGUUGUUUUUCGUUUUCUAGGUAUUCGUUUUUCUUUUUUCGGUGGAAUUUCCUCUGAGGUAGGAUUGUAUUUUGGGGUUUCAUGUUAGUGUUUUUAGGUCUUCUGAUAUGACGAAAAUGGUCUUUUUGCACUAAAGGAGUAUGGUUUAAAGUUUUUAGCCUGGCUCUUGGACUUCUGGAUUGGGUUCCUAGCUCUUGUGUGGUGUUCUUGGUGUUUCAGUGUAUUUGUAUGUUGGUUUUGUGACUAUGUCUCUGCUUUUCUUUGGAUGCUAAGGCUUCGUUUUGCUUGUAAUCUCUACCAUACUGAAGCUGUUCUUCUUGGUUUAUUGCAACAGAGGGUUUUUGCUGAUAUUCUUGUUGAGUUGUUUCUUUCCUUGGUUUAAAGCUUUUUUGGGUUUUUGAUUUCAAGAAUCUUUGUUUGCUAACAUUCUCGUAAUCCAAGAUACUAGCAUCUAAUAUAAGAAACUUUAUUCGCUGGGUGUUGUAUGAUACUUGUACUUAUUUUAUCCUUAUUUUUCUGACUGAUAAGUAGAGAUCUUUUUCCAGUUUAUAGCAUUUCUUUAUACCGUUUUGGUUGUUCUUAGAAAAUUUGAGGGAGAAUGGGAGGGAAAAUGAUUUUGUGAGGAAAGAAAAAUAAAAGGAAAAUGAAAAAUGGAUUUAAAAUAAGAAAUUACAUCAAUCUUUAAACUUAUCUUACUUAUUUUUCUUCUUUUUUCUAUAUGAAGAUUAAAUACUGAAAAAAUGUGUAAGUUGCUAACUAAUUCUAAUUAUAUUUGAUUUUUUUCUCUCUCAUAAUUUUCAUGGUAAGCCAAAUAUGAGAAAAACAUUUUCUUUAGCAUUUUUUCCCAUUUAUAAUAUUUUCUGAGACCCAAACAUAACCAAUACAAUUGUUACUUAUCUUAAUACAGCAAACAGUGCAACUCAUUCAAGACAAGAGCUACUCAAGUAAAGGAUGGAUUAGAGAAGGGUGUGUUGGGUAUCACCGUUGUUGUCAACCCAGAAAAGGUAUGUUAGGAUGCAAGGGAGUCUGUUUGCAAGUUUUAAGUUGAAGUAUCAAAUUAAUGUCUAGUUUUGAUUUCUUCUGAUUUGGUGACAUCAUAUGAGGGUGUACACAAAAUAUGGCAUGUACAUCAUGUUUUGGGAUCUCACUCAUUCUAUUCUACAAAAACUUGGAGGUUGUACAUGUUCUGUUAAACUAGUUUUCAAUUUUAUUUUUAAUUAAUGAAGAUAAAGGUAAAGUCUAACUAAUCAUGUAGAAUAUCCAAACCCUUUCAACAGCAAGAGAUGGAAACCCUUUCAAUUUUAGUUUUAGUUGAUUUUCUCUGUUUGGUGUGGUAUGGAUGAUGUAGUCAAAAGUAAGAGAAACUCUGUUAAAACGACAUGGAACUUUUGUUGCAUGGGCAGGAAAGGGAAAAAAGCCAAGCUUGGAGGACCACUCCAUUGUGUUUAUCUUGGAAUUUGUGGGAGGAAAGAAAUGGAAGAGGCCUUUGAAGAUUUGGAACUACUAGAACGAGCCAUUAAAUUUUCUUUUAGGAGUCUAUUUUGGAAUGGGUUGAAUGUAGAUGAUUAUUCCAUGACCAUGAUAGUCUUUGUAGAUUGGGUUAGCUAAGUAAAGAGAGGUGAUUUGUUUUUUUGUUUCUUCUCUCUUUCUUUUGCUUGCCUUUUUUUUUUGGUGAAAAAUAUGUAUAUCAGUGUACUUUGUUGUUCCUUUUUGCAGGCUCUUUACAUGUAUAUAUAUACACUCUCUUCUAGUCUAUAAAAAAAAUCAUAGCCCUUUCAAGCCUCUCACAUGUUUAUAAAUUAAUCUUGGUUGCAAUAAAUUAUGUAGCUAACAAUUCAGGGUAAUACAUGUCCACACAGUUUGUGGUAUAUGUGCACCAGAUUAUUUUUUACUUAGUUUCAGAAGUACGAUAACCCUGGAUAUGGUUCCCAUGUUAACAAAGGGAAGUACCAUUUAAAGUAGUAGGUGCAAUGAACUUCCAUGACCUUGCUCUUCUCCUAAUAGAGGCUCCUAGCAUCAAUUGAGGAUGCACACAUAGCCCCAAACUCCACUUUUUGCUUUUUUUUUUUUUUCUCCCAAAUCACAUAUACCCUUAAAAGCAAGGUAAACAGUGGCAAAUCUUGUCUCCACCAGUCUUGCUAAUUCCUGUUUGUGUGGGUGUAUAUGUGCAUUUGCAUGCACCCAUACACAAUGGCUCUGGUUCUGGUGGUUUAAAACCCAAAGGGCCAUUAGGUAUGAGCUAUGGUGAUAUAACUGAUAAAAGCAAGCAAGCUGUUAAUCUCUUUGAUGCUUUAGUUUCUUCACUGUAUAUGCACCUCAUGUUGGGGUCAUAAAUAGGCCCAACUCAAGAGGCUUUUCUAGGACAGAUUGUUGCAACAUGCAUAGUCCAUGAAUAGAAUGUAACUCCGCUCCAUGAAGUGUGGACAGCCGAGGGGGAAUGGGGGGGAAGUUGGAACCCUUGUUUCAAUAGACCUUUCAAUGAUUGGGAGUUGGAAGAAGUGGAAAGGCUAUUUUGUUGCUUGGAGGGGAAGAAGGUUAGGGGGGAUGAGGAGGAUAAGGUGAAGUGGAUGGCAUCAAAGGAUGGGGAUUUCUCGGUGAAAUCUUUGUAUAGGACCAUGCAGCCGGGGUCUCUUGCUUUUUUCCCUUCAAAAAUUAUAUGGAACUCUUGUGUGCAGCCCAAAUUGAGCUUUUUUGCGUGGGAGGCUUCUUGGGGGAGAGUUCUAACCUUGGAUCGCUUGCAAAAGAGAGGUUGGGUUAUGGCAAAUAGAUGUUUUCUUUGUCAUAAGAGUGAGGAGACAAUUGACCACCUUCUUAUCCAUUGUGAAAAAACGAGGGAAGUAUGGAUGGUGUUCCUUUCCUUUUUUGGUGUUUCGUGGGUUUUCCCCCAUUCGGUCAAGGAAACCCUUUUAGGGUGGAGGGGGUCUUUUGUGGGAAAGAAAAGGAAGGUGGCGUGGCAAUUGGGACCGUUAUGCUUGUUUUGGGUUAUUUGGAAGGCUAGAAAUUCAAUUGCAUUUGAGGAUUGUGGACUGUCCAUUCAAAGGCUGAAAACAUCUUUUGUGUAUUUUUUGUGGUCGGAAUCCAAAUUGUGGAUAAAAGAUGGUCCUUCGACCUUGAUAGAUUUUAUGGACUGGGUGUGUAUGCGUUAAGGGAGAGGUUUUUUUGUUUUGCCUUGUCCUUUGAUGUUUGGGCCCUUUUGUAAGGGGGUAAGUCCCUUUAUACUGUAAUUUGGUGGGUCGCUUCUUUAGCGCCUCUUUGCAAUACAUCUUAUAUUGAUCAAAAAAAAAAAAAAAUGUUUUUUUUUUGUUUCAAGUGACUUUGUUUAAGGUCUCUGUUUAUGGGGUCCAUGUGUUGGUUUUGUUCUAUUUUCCCAUUCUCAAAUGACUUUCUCUUCCCAGCCAAGAAGAGGAUGCUUCGAAAUUCGGGAGGAAGGUGGCGAGAAGUUCAUCAGUCUUCUGGUAAAACUCAUGCCUCAUCAUUCACAGUAUCAUGGGAAGGCACUAUGUUUUUAUGCCAUAAUCAUUUUAUUCGUUUGCAGUAUAUUCUUAUUUUUUCUUCAAUGGUUUGCAAUUUUAUACACCAUCAUUUGUGAUACUUAAGUAACUAGAAUUGCAUACACUGAAUCUGCCCCACCAGAUUUUAAUCUGACCCUGAAAUUGUGUUGGAUGAAAAUAAGUAUUUUGAUGAUGAAGAAAUAUGCAUUAGGGUAGAUUACUAUGAAGAAAUUUGUAUGGUGAUAGUUUAAUAUAGAAAAUAAGGUAAUUUUAAAAAAGACUAUUUACCACUACCUUUGCAACACUGCUUUCUUGUGCAAAUAAAUGAACAAAGCAAAUUACUUGUAGUUUGGUGAGGAAAAAGAGUGCUGCUUCUAGUUAAUAGAUGAUAGGGAGGUAAAUUUUGACCAUCAAAAGUUCAUUUUUUUAGACUAUGUAGCCUGAAAUCCUCAGUUCUUCAAGUUAGAAAUCUUAAAGCUGUCCAUAAGCAUUUUGGUUUUCUGAUCCCAGGAAUAUGAGUAGUGCUUGUCUAAGACAAACCCCUAUCCUGAUCAUCUUUAACAAAUUUUGGAAUUCUAAAAUUAACUCUCUGGGUUGGAUAAAAUUACUUUGGGACUAAUUUCUGUCCCCUUUCCAAAUACUGUGAGCUACAACUUAUAUUGAAGCAUGCCUUCUAAACAUGUUACUGACAUAAUGAUUUGGGAUGUCAACUGAUGGAUGCUUGAUCGAAGUAACGUCUGGGCCAAUAUUGAGUUUGACUGUUGGUUCAUUUAGAUUGACAAGUCUAGGCCAAGUGAAGGAGUCCCUAACUCAGGUAACCCUGGCUCAUUUGUAAACUGUGAUACAACUCAAUCGUUGCUCAACAUGAAUUAUGUUAUAUCUCAACUCAAAACAGCCUUAAAUCUUGAUUACUUUCUGUCAACCGGAUAACUGUUCCAUUGCCCUUAUCUACUUCUAUAUCAAACCCCUUCAACCCCUGCUCCCCUGUGGGGCUGAUAUGGCUUUGUAGAAUGUUUUAGUUUAUGAUGAUGGUGAAAAGUAGGAAACAGUUGCCAUUUUCCAGUACCUGAUCCUAGUUAUAUCCUGGCUUAAAAUACGGCAUCACCUAGUACCUCUUUUCUAUUACCACCUACCUGAUUUGAGAGAAUGCAGGAGCAAGGUUUGAUGGGUACAUCAUAGACUUGGUUUACCUUGGUGCCCAAGGAUCGCAUAAUCUUCUCACCAUUUAUUACUUGGGGUUUGGUUCAAGGGUUUUGGGCUUGGUGAAUAGAGUUUGAGGCUCAUCGAUGCAUUUUGAACUCAUUUCUACAGGACUGAGGGAGGGGGAAUCAUUGUGUUUAAGGGACAAAUAUCACCAUAUUCAUGAUGAAUCAUGUCAGGAUCUGACAUAUGCUAUAGUUGGCUUAAGACUCCUUUUUUCACCAGGUCUUAGAGGCUUUCUGUUGGUUGAACUUCUAUCUGCCAAUAUGGCUCUCCUCUUGGAUUAAGGGCCCAUGUGGGCUUAUUUGAAGGGAUCUCACAAUGAAGAGCUCUUAAGCCUGUAAUUGAGGCUCCUCAGGCUUUCUUCUGAGAGAUUCCUUAAGUGCAACCUGUUUAUUAUCCUACAUUUCUAAGAAGUUUCUAGCAAACAAUGUUAUAAAAGCUCUGUUUUUCCUCUUAGUUGCUUCUUAUCUGCAUGUUUUUAACUUGCAGGAUAUGAAGCGACCAUUUGCACCAAUGAAGGCACUUGACAUGGACAAAGUCAUUUCUGAUAUCAUUGACAAGAUCAAAUGAUGAACACUUUGGGUUAAAUGGAUUUUUAGUGUUUGUGGAUGUCUUUUUGUGGGAAACCAAGUAUCAUUGCUUAAUAGUUGAAACCUCUGUAUUGAGAAAAUGCUAAUUUCAUUUGAAAUUCCUCUCCUGGUAGGUGAUGUUGCUAUUGCUCUAGAAUUCUUGAACCUUUUUGAAUGAAAUAUUGUCGCACCAGUUGUUCCCUCUGCAUUGCAGAUAGGUAACUUGGAUGUCUUAUGGAAAUGUAAACGUUCCAUCAUGUUCAUAUGGCUUUCAAAAGGGUUCAAUUUUGUUUUAGUUGCGCUUUGAGGAUAUUUUUCUUUUUUGAUAUAUACAUUUAUAUUGUGUGCUUCAUACCAUUUUUCUAAAAUAUGCAUAAAUUGCAGGAAUUUGGGUUUGGAGAUCAUUUUUGAUGUAACUGGCCUUUCAUUGAAACUUCAGGAAGAAAUCAUAUGACCUUUCUCUCUCCCUUUUUUUUUUUGUCUCCUUUUUAAAGUUGAAUAGAGUGGAAAACUUUGCAAUUGUCAGAUAUUGAAAAAUUUGACAAAGGCUAUUUCUGAAUGCAUGUGGUUAGAGCAGGACCACGUAUUCUACUUCUUGUUCCAGUCAUUUCUAUGUUUCUUGAGUUAAUGGUAGUUUCUUUAUAAUGGGAAAAUGCUGCUCGUAUCAAAAUGUGUACAUUCUAAAGUUUCUUGUCCAAUUCCAGUACCUGUAUGACCUCUUUCUGUUUUUGACAUGAAAACCAUUCUUUUUCCCUUCCUAGCCUCCUUUACUUCCCAUUCAAAUCCUAGAGAUCUAACAAGACCAACACGAAUGGCAUUACAACAGCAAGGCAUGUGCCAAUAGCUACUUGAGUGGUGCCUGAAGUUCGAUCGGCACUGGGUGCAUCUGCAUGUGAUCCAUCAGCCACGGGUCCAUCAGCUGCAGGCAUAGGUGGAGAGCUGAGGGGAGCAUCACCAGCUGGCGCAUCAGCCCCUGGGCCAUCAGCUGCUGGCACAUCAGCAAAAGAUGGGGCUUCAGCAGAGUCAUCAGAUGGUGCAGGAGCUUCUGCUGAUGGAGCCUUGGCAGGAGGUGGGGUGGUUUUGGACGCCCCUGGACCUUCAGCUGCCUUUGGCGCAGCAGCAGGCGAUCCAGAAGGUGGUGGAGAAACUGGGACGGCCACCACCCCUCCAAUACCAGGGGCUAGUAUAGGGGUGCUGAUCUGAAGCACGGAAAUGUUAAAAGGCUGAGAAGCAACGGUCUUAACCAGCUUGGCUUGGAGACCUGACCCUGCUACUGCAGACCCGAAAACAACCUGUCCACUGCUCAAUUCUGUUACAUUCAAGAACCCUUGUUGCCCAUUAGCCUGACCAGUGGCCUGGAACAGGGUGGUUAGAAGAGCUGUCUUGUUGGACAACUUAUGGAGCUUGGCAACAUCAUAGUAAUCAAGAAUCACAUGCAGGCGCAGGAUGUUCUUAAUAUCAUCCAUCGAUUUGCCGGUGAUUGGAGCAAUGGCGCCAUUCUCAACGGCGAGGACGGUAAUGGUCUGUCUUCUAUUAAUCCCGAUGCUGAUGUUGGUCUGAGAUAGAUAGCUAUUGAAGGUGGAGAAAUCAGGGAACUGGCCCAGGAGUCUGGUGAUGUUAAAGGCCUGGGCGGCCGAGGAGAAGAGUAGGAAAGAAGACAGGAACAAGAGAAGAGGAGGUGGAAAAGAGGACUUGGGCCCCAUCUUUUCUGAUGCUCCCGCUAUUACAGGAGGAACAUCAGGCCCUUUAUAUACAGAGGGGAGAUGUUUCUAAGCCAGAGACAAAGCCUAACUGAAUUUUCUACGUUUCAUGGACGGGAGAAAAUCUCUCCUCCAUCUCAAGCUCAGUUGGAAAUGCGGGUACAAAGAACAUGGUGGAGCAUUGAUCUCUGAGUUUAGAGACGACAGGUUCAACUUUUUUCUGUCAUUUUUAUUUUUUAUUUGUUCAUCAAAACAAAAAAAAUAAAAAUAAAAACGAUUAGAAAACAAUUUUUUUGUUCUUAAAAACAAAAACAUAGUAUUUUUAGAAAAUAUCAUUUAGUGGUUUUCAAAUAUUUUAUUAUUUUAAAAAAUAAUUAUAUAAAUAUAAAAAAUGCUUAAAAAUAAAGUAUUAUGAACCUAACUUAUUUUUAAAUAUAAAAAAUAAGUUAAAAAUAUUUUAGGUUCUUAAAGGCAAUUUUUUUUUAGAAUUGUUUUAAAAAACAUUUUCCAAAGUUUAAAAUCAUUGAUAAUAAAUGCAUUUAUCUUAUUGAAAACUAUUCUAUAUUUAUUUAAGAAUUAAGUUACAGAAAAAACUUAAUUUUAUUUGAAGUUAAAUUGAAUUAAGAUCUAUUUAGAUUUAAGACAGAAGAAAUCAAAUUCAGCUUGGCUUUAAGCUCUUAUCUAAUGUGAAACAUAUAAAUCAACUCAAUAAUCAUAGGAUUUGAUUAUUUAAAAAUUGAUUUUUUCAAUGUUAAAAUGAGAAAUUAUGGAUUGGAUCUUUUAAAAAAUAUAUUGAAAAGUCGGCUGGUUUGGAUCAAUUUAGUUGGCUUUGUCAAGUUGGGUGAUGAAUGUACUAAGCAAGCAAUCCAAAUUUUAGGCGGUGGGUUCAAUGAUCUUUGGUUCAAAUUUGAAGUGAGCAUUUUUAAACCAAGGGCAUGGUGUCUAGCCACGGGAUACCAAGGCAUGUUGUCACUUGUUCCUAGACAUGCUUUUGCGGGUUGAGAUCAAUACAACUACUUAUCGAAAUAUGGUAAUUUUGAAACUAUUUCCAAAUUAAAGUUGUUUUUUAAGAAGAUAAUUUUAAUUAAAUAUGAAAGUUAUUUUUUUCAAAAAAUAAUUUCAAAAUUCAAUUAAAAUUGAUUCUUUAAAAGACAAUUUUCAAUUAGAUUUCUUAAAAAUAUUAUAAAUUUAUAAAUAUAUAUAUAUAUAUAUAUAUAUAUAUAUAUAUAUAUAUAUAUAUAUAUAUAUAUAUAUUUUAAAUUGUUGUAUAUAUAUAUUUUUUUUGAGUUGAAUUUGGUUCAAUUUACAUGUUUUAUAAUCUAAUUAAAGAAACAAUGAUUUAUUUAAAAUGUGGGAAGAAGGCGAAAAUGUCCCAUGUGAACUUUGGGAAGUUUUUUCUUUUUAUAUUCUAAUGUUACAUGCCCACUCCAACAUUAGAAAAAAAAAUGAUGCAUUUAAAAAAAAAAAUUCUCCCUUUUAUUAUUAUUAUUAUUUUUGUUUAAAGAAUGAAAUAAUUUUUAAAUACAUAAUUUUAUAUAUUUUUAUUUUGUUUUCUUUUUAUCAAUUUUUUAAAAUUGGAUCGAUUAUUGAAUUGAAAAAAUUACUAGUUUACGAUUCAUUAGUCAGAUCGAUGGUCAAAUUGAUGACUGUUAUAAAUAUAAAUUUUUAUAUAUUAUUAAAAUUUUAAAAUCAGAAUUUUAUUUGAAAAUAAAAAAUUAUUUGAAAGUCAUAUAAUUAUUUGAAUUCCUAAUGUUUCCAAAAGUUUCUUUUAAUUCCUAAAGUUUUCAAUGAUUUUAUUAAUUUAUUUAAACUCAAAUAAAAAGUUUUAAAAAUCUAUAUAAAAUUAAAAUAUAUAAAAUUUAACAAAUAAAUCAACAAAAAUUUCAAUAAAUUGAAAUUUCAAUAUGCAAUAAAUAAGUGAGGCUAACAAAUUUUAAUAAAUAAAAAUUAUAACAUCAACAAAAAUAAAAACAUUAAAUGUAAAAAUAUUAAAUAUUAAAGUAAAAAAAAUAAAAACUUAAACUAAUAAAAACUUAAAUGUAAAAACUAAAGACUCACUGUCACAGUCAUCAAAAGGUCCUCGUUGAUGAUGACAAGCGGGUCCGAUAAAACGGAUAGCCUGGGCUAUGGGGAGUGGCGGUGGGUAAGGUUUGGGUUUAGGGGGUGGGGAGGCAUAAACUAGGUUGAACCGUUCGGUUUGUUGGUACGAUCGUUGAUUCAUUUGGUCUGAUCCCGAUCCAACCCUUGGAUGACUCAACUAACCAAAUCGAACCAAAACUGUGACCGAUCGAUCCGAUUUUAAAAACCGUGUUUUACAUUCUUAUAUUUUAGGAUAACAAAAUAGCAUAUAUAUCUACAUAGUUAUUUUAAUUUAAAACUUUUUUCUUAAGAUCUGAUAAAAGAUUUAAGAUUUACGAUAACGAGUCAAAUGAGAGAACAAACAUUUUAAAGAUAUUUUAAAAGGGAAAACUUCUACUUAAAUCACUAAACUCAAGCAUAUGUUCUUGUACUUGUUCAUAAAUUUUUAUAGUUUGCUAAUUACUCACAUGUAUUAUUUUUUAUUUUUAAAAUAUAAAAAAUAUUAUGAUAUUAUACAUCCAACCACUAUGCAUAUCCUAUAACUUAUAGUACUAAUUUUUUUUUAAAAAAAAAAAUCCUAAAACUUUUAUACAAUAAGCAUUCAACUGUUCUCCACCUUAAAUUGGUAAGUGGAAUUUAUUUUAAAUUAGUAAUUUUUUUUUUUAUAAAUUUUUGCGUCUUUUCCAAAGUUGAUACUAAUGAAAGUAGGCCUAAUUUAAGGUACAUUCCUUUACCACUCAUGCUGGCCAAAUUCAUUUGAUACAUGAUCAUAUUCAAAGUUUAUUUAUAAAAUAUAUAAAAUAAUUUGAAAACGAUGUUUUGAUCAUUAGAUUGAGUUAGUUACGAAAGAAUUUAUCCCUCCAUUCCUAAAGUUUUGUGCUUAAUAUUCUCUUUAGUUAAGAAUGCGGUAUCUCAAAAAAUUUAGUAAUUUAAUGAUUAAACAUCUACCUAAUCUCGAUCUUAUAAUUAAAGUUAGGCUAAAUACCUAAUCUAAGAACCUUUUAACAUUAAGUAGUAGUAUUCUUUCAAAUGUCAAAUUAGCUUGUAGUGUUAUUCCUUAGGAUGAACUUUAUAUAAAUAAUUUGUUUGAUACAUAAGAGGAGGAAUAAAUGAUGUUUUUUUUACUAAAUUUGGAUGAGAAUAUGUAAUCGACUUUAUUAAUUAAAACCCGCUAUGUAAAACCCUAGUGGGUUUUCAAAACUUGAACAUGAUUAAGUGGGUGAUUACAGUAAUCACCUUAAAAUAAGAUCAAAAUUAGGGUUUGGUUGAGAUGGGAAUCACUCAACCUAGUGGAAGUCACCUUUCCCCUUGAUUCUCAUUUUAAUGAAAGCAAAGCAUUCUGAUAAAAGCUACCCCAAUUCCUACAUAACUUUAGAGGAAACAAUUUAAAUUACAAACAAAAUUUUAAAAAAUAGAAAUAUAUUUUUUUUUUCUCAAAAUAAAAAAUGAAAAGAAAGGAAGAAAAUGGGAAUGCUGAGGUGGGUUGGUCCUCCAAAAUCCAAACAAAUGACAGUGUAUAAAUCAUUGGCAGCCAAACAUGGAUAAGGGAGGAUGGGGAGUGGAUCAUGAAUCUUGAUGCCAACUAAGAGUCUGUCAUCAUCAUAUCCCAACAGGAAUUUUCUAUCUGGAAUCAAUGAUGUAUGUGGUCUUUUUUUUUUCUUUUGGGGGCUCCUAAGAAUACAUCCCUGUGAUGCUUGCUUGAAUUGGAUUUUGAGCUUUAGCCCUCAAACCCUCUUCAUUUCAACCAACCCUCAAGAGGGUUUUUGUGUUUGUUUCUCAUGAAAAUUAAAAAUAGGGGAUAUUUUCCUAGAAAAUGGUUCAUGCAUAAGCCUAUCUCCUACUUUCCACAUGUUUCUUUGUACUAGCCUAUGAAUCAAUGUCACAGUGUUUCAUCACCAACUAAAGUUUCAACUUUAUGAAAAAAAAAUAUGAUAGAGAAUAAAGAAAAUUAAACGUGAGAAAUAAAAGGAUUCAAACAUCACUUUAGAUUUUUUUUUUUUCAAUUUAAAUCAAGGGAUUGCAAGGAUUCUUCCGUAAGGACCUCACUGAUACGAUAAAGAGGAACAUUGAGCAGCCGGAGCUUGUACUCCUACUUCAUCCUUGGUAACCAAAAGGCUUGCACAAAAUUGUACUGUCUUUCACCAUGUCUUGGCAUCAUCUCAACUUUAGGUAUAAAGUUCUAGGACCACCAUUGAUCCAAAUCUCCAAUUUUUUUCUAGACAUGACUUUUGCUACUCUUAUUUCUUCUCUCCUACUCUACCUAAACUCCUUAACAUCGUAACGAUCUUAUAUUCAUUAAGCAACCGAUCUUUAGUAAUUUAAUUAUUACCCAAAAGCUUUAUUAUUUGGAAGUAGUCGAUAAUAUUUAUCGACCUAAUCAUCUAUAAAUAUGUUUGUGACAAAAAAACUUACAUUUUUAUUAUUAAUAAAUAGAAGAAGAAGAAGAAGAAUGAUAUUGAAUGGGUGAAUCCUUUCUAUUAUGUUUAUGAAAAAAAACUCGUACAUUUAUCCUAUCAACAAAUAAAGAAGAAGAUGCACAAGAGUGGUAUCUUCUAGGGUUUCUUUUUGGUCUAGGGAUGAAGGCGUGAGCCCUUUUUCUUAUGUUGGGCAGAAAUGCUGCCAUCAAUCACAUCUUACCUUUCAAAAGUUGCAAAUUAUAUGAAAUAAUAGCUAACCCAAGGUCAUUUUUGGGGGACCCAUGGUCCAAUUUAAAGUGCACCAUGAUUUGAGAGGUAGGGGGAGUUGGGUCACAUGGGCUUGAGCCUAUACAAUUUGAGGGUUUGAUCUCAUUUGGUUCAAAUGUGUUAGACAUCUAUGUUGGGCGCACGUGAGGUCUGAAUUUUUAGGCCAAUUGGAUGGUGCCAUUUGGUGAAGAGGGUUGUAUCCCAAUGAUGUGGAUUAUGACUAGACAAGGGUUAAAAAAAAUAAGGGCAACAAGGUCCUAAAAUAGAGGACCACCAACCCAUGUGAUAUCAUGUGGGCUACAUUUGAAAAUAGGGGACAUCUAGGCAAACAUAGGGAGCAAAUUUUGGGGAGGAAAGGUGGUGAAUGAGAAGCAAAUAGAAUGGGAAAGGAAACUCAAAAAAGUACACUUGGUGUGGUGGUCCUUUAGAUAGGCUUGCUUCAAGCUCAAUCAUCUCAAUCAUUUUUAUUCUAACGAGGGAUAUUAUUUGGACAACCCAUUCACAAACCUAGUUACAUAGAAUAAAGAAUGUUUCUUCUUUUUUUUUCUCCCAAAAAUGUAAAGCAUUAUUAAUAUUUUCAAGGCAAUAAUGGAAAAAAGUUUUUAUAUUAUAAUUUUGGAAAAACUAGUCUUUUUUUAUUUUUUUUUAUUUUAGGAAAUAUAAUCAUAUGCUAGACUAAUUUUUUUUUUUUAUUGUUUUGAAAUAUAUUUUUUUUUCCCCAUAGAAGGGUUUUAAAAUUACAAUAUAUAACAAUUUAAUUAACAAGAAUUUAGAAAGUUUAGAAGCUUUAAAAUAAAUUAAAAGUUGACUUACUUUUAUGUAACAAAAAGUUUAAGAUUUAGAAAUUCUUUAAUAAAGACAAUACAUUGGUGUUAUCUAAAAAGAAUUUGAGUCUAGUACAUUAAAUAAUAUUUUUUUCUUAAUAUAAAUAUUCCAAGAAGAAAAGCAUUUUAUUAGCCAUUUGGCUCUUAAUUUUAUAGAUAUUUUAAAUUUUGUUCUCAUUAUUAAAUUAUAUAUGUCUUCAUAAAUAUAUAUAUAUAUAUGAACACAUACAAAUUAUAAUUGGUAGUAUUUUAUUUAAUUAAAACUUUUUAAAUUAUCAAAAUUAUCCUUAUUUUUAUGAUAAAAUUUAAUUAUCAUUCAAUCGAUCAAACUCGACCGUAUAAUUAUUUCUGUUUUUACUUCUUUAUUAUCAAUUUCAAUAUUAUUGCAUAAACAUUUUUAAUAAUUCUAACAAUUAAUCAAUGUCGAAAAUGGAAUAGACUAAUCUAAGAAAAUGGUCCAAAUAAAAAAUAUCUUUUGGGAGGCAAAAAUAUCCAAAAACCUCUCAUGUCCACGUGGAGAGGCCGUGAGGAAGGUGGCAGUGUCUGGAAACUCUCCAAUCUUUUUUCUUUCUUCAUAUAUCUCCUCUAAAGUCAAUAUAUAAACAAGAACGAAGCCAAUAUUCCCACAAAGUGAAAGGCUUUUUUAUACACACAUCAACAACAAGAUUCUCCCUAACCCACAUCCACAGAUGGUAUGUGUACCCUAAAUCUCACCCUUGUGGCAUCCUUGUACCCUAAUAUUUAAACCCAUUUGGACCCACUAUAUCUAGAUUCUAUACCAAAGAGGAACAACCCCAUCAUCACCCUCCUUUAGGGUUUAAGAGCCCCACCAUCCCCUAGAGUAUUUUCCUCUUGUUUUAUAUGCCCUCACACCCAUAUAAAUACCGCCUCUUGUGCUCCAUCCUUCUCACCUCCAUCAAACCAUCAACCUUAUAAGUCUUUAGUAGUGUUCUUCUUUCCUACCGAUCAAACUCAUUGAAGUAACAAGCCAAAGACACUUCCUGAAAGAACAUGUCCGGGGUUUGGGUGUUCAAGAACGGUGUGUUUCACCUGGAGAAUCCUCAGGCGGAGUCGAAUGGGCAAGGGGGCACCGGCCAGCGCAAGGUGCUGGUGUACCUGCCCACCGGCGAGGUUGUAUCGUCCUACAACUCGCUAGAGAGGAUUCUGAGGGGGUUGGGUUGGGAGAGGUAUUAUGGAGGUGACCCAGACCUCUUCCAAUUCCAUAAAAGCUCUUCCAUUGACCUCAUCUCUCUCCCUAGAGAAUUCUCCAAGUUCACCUCCAUUUACAUGUAUGAUCUGGUUAUCAAAAACCCCAACAUCUUCCACGUUAGAGACUAAAACCAGUCAUAUAUAGCUUUUCUACCAGACCUAUAAACCCCUAGCUAGCUGUCUCUUCCUUAACCUCAUCAUCAUCCCUGUUUGGCUACCCCACCAUUGUUUUUUUUUCAUUUGUGUGCUUCUCCUCCAGUAAUGGCUGCCAACCAAGGUUUUAUUUGACUACUCUCCCUCUUCUCCACUUGUCCAGUACUACUGUAAGAAAGCAGAAACUAUGUGCCUUCAUCGUGUUAGUUUUCUACUGUUGUAAUGCUUGAAUAAUGGCUUUGUUUCAUGUAUUUUAUAUGUAUUAUCCUAAUAAAAUUCCCAUAUUGGAUCUUGAUUCACGUACCCUGAGUUUUUAGCUUAUAAUUAUUUACAUGCAAAUCCUUCUUAUGCUUAGAUGAUCGAUUAACCCACUCAUGCAAUGCAGCCUUAUCUCCCCAAUCUUCUGAGCUUUAUCUUUGUAUCUGAUUUUUGACCAUUCUCACAAGUCUUUCUAUGGAUGACAAGCAUUUUAAUCAAUCCCAAAUGCACUGCUCUCCACCUUGGUCUCUCAGGGAUUUAUUGGAAAACGAGGGCUGAAAACCCUAAAAAAAAAAAGGAAAGGAAAACAAAAAGAAGCUCAAAAUAUUGCUAAAUUUUGAAGAGUUCAAUAUGCUGAUCCCAUGCGCUCGAGUCCACUGCAAGGAGCCAAGGAAACCCAAAUUGGUUGGCCGGCAGUGGUCAGAGAAGCAUACUUGAGCUCCACAAGAUCAUGGCCCUUGGUGUAUUUCACUGAUAUGUUGAUUAAUAUCCAUGAAAAUAAGUAAUCCCCAUCAUAAAAUGGUGUGCUCUGUUCCAUUGGAGAGGUACUCUCUCUAGAGGCAUGAGGUGAAUCAUCCAAUGAUAUAUAGUGAUUGGGCUUUGAUUCUGUGGGGGGCCUAAAUGCUGAUGGGCUUGAUUCUGUGGAGCCCACAUGGCUGAGGGAAGCUGGUGGGCUUCACGUGAAGUGGAUUGCUACUGUUCAUCAACGGGCCAGUACUUAACUGACAUGUGUCUUACGGGUCUCACGGGUCUUAUGGGUCCUAUGGGUUCUCUAAAUCUACUUUACACGUGGAACAUUCCUGAAAAAGUAAAAGCCUAGUCACGUGACUCCAUGGGUACUAGGUUUAUCUGGAACCUUCUAUAUUGGGUGUAACUUGGCUUAAAAUGGGUCAUGCUGUUAAGGGCCAAGGCCCAAGUUCAGGCCCAGCCCAUUACAAGGGCAUAUUUGGAAUUGGGUAGAAAGGCGUGGGAACACAGAGCAAUCCAGAGAAAGUUGAGAGGUGAAGAUGCUGAAGAAGUCGCCAUGAAUUGAGGAUGAUGAUGUUGUUGAAAAAAUCGAAUCUGAAAAAGGUAAUGGUGAUGAAUUCUUGAUUUUGGUUUGAUUGGAGUCUUGAUGAUUACAUGUUUUCAUAUUAACUGUAAAUGAUUUUUUUUUUCAAUGAAGUUUUGGUAUGUUGAUCUGAGUAUGAAGCUUUCAAGGAUGGUUCUGAGUUUGAUGUUGUUUUGAGAAAAUGGGUUUUCCUUUUUUUUUUUUUUGGGUUUCUUUCUGUAUAUAUCGAGAUGAUCAAAAUUGGUUUUGGUUUGAGGGUUAAUUUACCUUUAAAUAAAUAAAUCUCUCGCUUUGUGUAUAUUGGGACGAUUGAAAUGGGUUUUCAUUUGAAGGUUUUGUAUGAUGUGUAGACUUGGGUUGCAAAGUCUCUGUUUUGUGCUAUACUUUGGACUGAUAUUGGAUGCUUUGUUUAAAAAGUUAGGUGCCUUGGCUACUUGGGAAUUCUGUUGGAUGAUACCUUUUCCUCCAUUUCUUUAACCGGGGUUCAUUGGAGGGUUUUCCCUUUUGUUUGUUUUGUUUUGGGGUCAUGCCUUUCAUUCUUAGAGGUGUAAUUUAGCUAAAAUUGAGCUGAUGGGUGUUGUUAAGGUUCCAAAUAUUACAAAUUUGGCAAUGGAUUUGGGCAUUCGGUCCUUGAUACCUUGAUUUUUAGGAUUACGAGUCCCAUUGGUGUUGCUUUGGUUUCCUAAUGGGAACUCUGAAUUUGGUUAACCAUUUUCCAGAUUCUCUUGUUGUAAGGGAAUUCAGGUAGAUUUGGGCUUUUGUGCAUAUGCAUUUGUUGGGAUCUUGUGGAUUACUUAGUUCUGAAGGACUUAGGAUGUUAAGUGGUGGAUCUUACUGAAGUGUUGUGCCGGUCUCUUUUGGAAAGGAGGGAAAUCUGAGGAUUUGGGUUUCCCUAGUGGAAGUAAUGGAGUGUCUGGUUGUUGCUUCAGUAUUUUUCCUUGUACUCCCUUUCAAUCUGUUUAGAGGGGUUGAUAUUACUGAUUUGUUGAAUUGGACCUUGCCAUUGCACAUGAAGCUUCUCCCUUUUCCCCAUUCUUCUCAAUUCUUUUUUGUUCCGUCUUUCUUCUAAUGGUAAUGACAUCUAACCUGUGUCUUUCACUUUUGCAGCUUUGCCAUGGAACAUUGUUUAGUUAUAUUUGGUAUUCAAUUGUAAAUAUUUCUUUUUUCUAGAAUACAAUUUCUACUUUUGAAUGUUUUAUGGCCUUAGAAGUUUUAAUAGUAAUAGUUUCUUUAGCGAAGCUUAAAUGGUACCUAUGGUGUUCUUUAAAGUUCUUAUCAUUUUAAACAUUGAUUUUGUUUUAUCAGGUUAGUUUUAAUUAUAAAAGUGGCAUCUGGCCUACCAUGCUAAUACAAAUAUUAUUUUUUGUAUACUUUUGUGAAUUGGGUUAGGGUGUAUAUAGGGGAUCACACUUUGUCUAUGAUUGACUUUAUAGAUUGGUUGUUUGUUAAGUAAGGGAAUGACUUUCUUGUCUCCUUGCUGCCUAGUUUUUUGGGCGUCUAUACUUCGUGUGUACUAUUUUCACCGUUUCUAGGCAUUUCUAAUGCAAACUCUUAUUUACCUAUAAAAAUAAAAUAAAAUUUGUUUGUAAUGAUGGUUCGAUAUAGUUAUGUUUAUAUGUUCCAAUAAGUGUGGAAGUGGUGUUGAAAGAUUGCAAAUACUCUUUUGUUGAUAGUGGGCAAAUUUUUUCGAGGGAAACCUAUUAAAGUGGCUAAUCUCUUUCAAUUGAGGUGAGAACAAGGGCAUCCUUGGAGUCUAAAUACCUCAUGUUCCUUGUUGAUUGGUGUGCAACUAAAUAAUGAAUGGAUUAGAGAAAAAAAUUCUCAAAGGAAUGAAAAGUGGAAAGGGCUGGUAUGGGGUAGAAUCCAAAUCUUUUAGAGCCUCAGUAGAGGUUGUCAAAGAAAGGGUGGAAGGCAUAGUUUUAGGUCAUGGGUUCUCUAGUUGGAUCAAGUUUGGAGAGAAGAGCCUUUCACUUUUUCUGGAGAGAGUGGAGUCGUGUUGCUAGUGGAAGAGGGAGAGGCCUUAUCAAUAUGUACAGGAGGAAAGGGGUAGGUGGUACAGGUUGGAGCUUCAUAAUAAUUGAGUAGGGCAAUAUAUUUUGUGCUCAGCUUGCUCUAUAGAGGCAAAGUGGUUCACAUUAGUUUUCUCAGACGGUAGGGGAUUUCUUGGGGGUUGGGUGGUUUUUCCUAACAGAUUACAUAGCCUUGGGGUGGUUCCCUCUUCUAUUAGCUUCUAAACUUUCUCCAAAGGUGCUUGCUAUUGAAAGCAGUGAGGUGGCCUAUUCAAAUGUACAAUCCUUUGCAGAGGUUUUGAGGAAGCCUCACUUUGAGGUGGGUGAUGUUGUGUGGAUAGAGCUGGGGGAAAAGGAAAUAUACAACAAGAUUAAGGUGAUAUAAAGUAAUUUAGUGGGGAGAUGGGGGAAUUUCUCAGAUGAAGCUCUGAAUCUAAAGUUGCAACAGAGGUAGGCUGAGUAUUACUAGAAUCCAAAAUGGGACCUUUAGGUGGCUGUGUUAGGAGGCUCCUUGAUAUUGUUUGAAUUUGAAUUAGUUGCUGAUGUUGAGAUGGUCCUUAGACAUCUCUUAAUGUAUAUCUUUGCUUGCCCAUAUCAAAAUAUGAUCCAAAUUCCUUUGUUAACCACUCGUGAAUAAAAAUUAAGAAAUUUGUGUGCGCUACAUUUUUCAUCUAAAACAGGCACACUGUAAGAAAUUGUCUUCCGUGUUUUGCAUGUACAUGGCUGACUUAUGAAAGCACACAAUAGGUUUCUGACACAGGUUGAAUAUUCUUUCCUUGAUUUACAACCAGGGGUUCUGCAUCAUAUGAACAGACUUUCUUUCUAUUCCAUCAUUAACUCAACUUUUAUACGCCACUUUUUCCACGAGAUUGUAAUGGAAUGUGGAUUUUACUCGUGACAAACAUCUUCCUUUUUUCAGUUCAAUCUGUUUACUGAUUUACAUUUCAGCUCUUCAUUCUUGUGAUACUUGUAAGAGGAGUUUUACGGGAGAAGGAUGUAGAAAUUUGGUGUUGCGAACACCUAAAACAACAAACUACACUUUUCCAUAGAGUAUGAAUUUUGGUAGUGAGAAACAACUGAAUUUACAUUGUAUUUAUUUAUUUACAGUGCUAAAUUCAAUUACAUGGCCAUGGAACACGAUGCUGAGAAAUCCUUUAUUCAUGUCGAAAGCUCAGAGGGAUCCAAUCCCAACGGUUCAAAUCCUGUGACCAAGGUCAGGAUGCUGCUGUUUCGCAGAAUGUUGGUGGGAGUUAGCGAUGGACGGUUUUUCCUGGGCAGCUUCCACUGUAUGGACAAGCAAGGGAACAUCAUUCUCCAAGAUACAGUGGAGUACCGUAGCACUCGACGCUCCUCUCCUUCCCCAAUGGAGCAACGCUGCCUUGGUCUCAUUCUCAUCCCAUUCUCAUGUAGAACCUCUUGUCAUGUAGAUUGUUCCAUUGAAGAACAAUUGUCACUGUUGUCACUUCCUGGGUAGUAGUGGUUCCAGAGAUCAUACUUCUACUUGAAACAAUCGCAUCAAUUGGACCAAGAACCGAAUUUUUAUCAUCCUAGGGCUGCGCUCUGGUUUUGGAAUUUUUGUACAUUUUGAACCAUUGGAUCAAUGGGGGAACUCUAGUCCUAGCAAUUUUUGAAGCAGUUAUUUUCCUUUGGUAGAACUGAGAAGCAAUUUGCUUGAAAUUUAAAGGUAAAAUCUCUAGGAUUCUUUUACAUCUUGUUGUUCACCCCCUUUAGAUUUUUGUUCUUUUAUUAUUAGUAAGUCUAGGGAUUAUAGCACCGACAAUAGUUUUCUGUUUUUUAAAAUAAAAAAACACGUUUAAUAACUUAAAAAAAUUAUUUUUUGUUUUUUAUUCUUAAAAAUAAAAAAUAACUUGUUUUUAAAGAAUAUUUUUUAGUUGUUUUUAGUUAUUUUCAUUUAAUUUUUGGGAUUGUUUUAAAAAAUAAUUAUAUAAAUAUGUAUAAUGAUUAAAAAUAAAGUAUUAGAUAUAAAAAUUAUUUUUAAAAAUAUUUGAAAAUAUUAAAAUAUGUUAAAAACAUUUUAUAUUUCUAAAUAGAUAUUUGUUUUAUAAAAUAUUAGAUAAGAAUUUUUAAAAACUAUUCUCAAUUAUUUUUAGUAAAGGCUAUGUUUGGAUAUGAUUCUCAAAAAUAAUCGUAACACGAUGUUUUUUAAGAACAUAUUUUAAUUAUUUUUAAUUUUUAUUUAUUUUUUAAAACAUGUUUAAAAAAUAAUCACAUAAAUAUUAAGAAUUGUUAAAAUUAUUUUUUAAAAAUAUUUAAAGAUAUAUAAAACAAAUAAAAAUAUAAGUGCUUAUCAAAUGCUAGUAUGAGAAUAAUUUUAAUUAAUUAUCUAGAUUUUAAAAAAUGAUUUUAAAAACUUAGCUAAUUGUGUAAGUUUCAUAAAAUAAAAAUUCAAGUAAUUAUCAAGAUUUUCAAAAGUGACCUUUUAAACUUUACUAAUCAAUAAUUUUUGUUAAAAAAAUAAAAUAAAAGACCUUUAUAAGGCAUUUCUAAUUCUCUCAUAAUCAUUCCCAAAAUGCACUUUUAAUAGUAAUUCUAUGGGCUAAAAGCAGGAAUGAGAAGCCAUAUUGAUGUUAGACAUUUUCAGACUUUGAAAGGAUAUCUGCUUGAACACUAGAGACUCCUGUGGAGCCUCUUCAAAUACCAUCUGCAAGAGUUGGCAUGCAAUCAUGUAGAAGCAUGUAAAAAAAUCUGGAUAUAUUCAUAUGACAUUAGUUUUUAUUUUUUAUUUUUUAUUUUUUAUUUUGUGUAAAAUAAGAUUCAAGUCAUUUGACAUUGAAUAAGAUAAAUAGACCAAAAUGUAGGGGUAAAAAAAAAAUUAAUAAAAGUGGACAAACUGCCAAAAACAGUCACCCAAAGAGGAGGAAGCAGCAGUAGGAAACAAAGCUGGCAGCAUCCUCCAAGUCCCCUAUUCAAGCAAAACCCUAAUUGCUCAGCUGAUCACUCUUCCACUGCCAAAAACAUUUUUGCCCGGCGGCAUACUGGAAUCUGUAAUCUGCUACUUUACAACAUUCUAACUGCUAUAUACCAAGAAAUGAGGUGAGAGGGCUUGCAGUCGAACGAGGUUGAUCCGACCAAAAGAAUAAUAAUGAGAGGGCAAUGCUUAAACUGUUGUAUAAUUGGAAAAGAGAUGCAGCAAGUUAUCCUGAGCUUCUGGGUAAAAUUUCCUUGCGAACAAAUAACAAGGCCGCUUCACUCCGUUCCAUAAACAAGGUUGAAUCAUCAUUUUUUUCUGUAGUAACAGUUCAAACAUAUGAUAUUUUUCAUGUUCCUUCUCAAGUAAAAGGGAAUAUAACUAAGAAUAAUGGUUCUAAGUCAAAAUAUUGAAAGAGUGAUAUCUGUACCUUUUCAUUGCUUGUGACAUGAUAGCUCAUAUCAAUAGCCUGCCAUAGUAACAACAAUGUCAAGGACUAAUGCAGAAUUGCAUGUGAUUCUUGAAAAAUAAAACUGAAUAGAAGGAUAAGACAAGGAUCGUACUGUAAUAUUCCUAAGGAGCUCGUAACUGACGUCUUGACCCCUGUAUGCUUUUGGAUGCCACUUUCCUUCUGACCAAUCUACAUGUGUCACAGACCAGUUUGCAAUUCCAGUAGGAUCGAUCAUCUGAAAGCAGCAGCAGUGGGAAGAAAUGUUGGAAACAAGGAAAUAAUAGGAGGGUUUAACACAAGGUUUUAUGGGAAAAAGAGUACAAAGUUUAAUGUGCUGACAUUGAAAAGGGUUGGCAAGUAAUGUUCAUCUGCAUAGCAAUUCCGCCCAUCCAUACCUGGCUGUGAAAUUCAAACACAUCAUUGUCAAAGACUUGUUCACAGAAUUAGGUCUAGAAACAUCCAUGUUUUCCAUGAAUUCCACAAAGUUUUUUGCAAGUGUGCACAUGGGCAGAUUUUAAUCAAGAAAUAAAACAAGUAAAACAGUGCACAAAAUGGUUUCUUGAUCCCUACAAGGAGAAUGCUUCAUCCCUAGAUUGUUGCGUAGAGAAGUCUUUUUUGAAAUGGAGUGAAAACAUAAAAGGGAACAGAUUGUUCUCCAGUCACUAUUUUCAUUAUUAGCUACUCUCAGCUAUGGAAAAAGUAAAAAAAAUGAAAGAAAAGAAAAGAAAAGAAAAGUUACUUGCAGUCAAGUGAACUGGUCUCAGAGAUGUUUUGGUGAUUUGGCGAGCUCGAUCACGAGUUAAGUGGCACACAAGAUAUACUUUUAUCUUUCAAAAGUUUUUGCAUAUUUACACGUAGUAUUGAUACAUAAAUAAAAUGUAGAGACUGAUGUAUCACAGAUCACAACCUCCAAUCCAGAAUACAUUUGAAGGGAAUUGUGAAAGGAUAAUAUAUAUAUAUAUAUAUAUAUAUUGAUAGGCAAUAUAAAAGAUAAUAUUAAGACAAAAGGGAAUUCAAAUGCACCAAAAUACCAAAAUUGUAAGCAAAUUAUUUGAUAAUAGAGCUCACAAAUGCCCGGAUGAAAGAUUACACAGUAGAUUAUAUUUUCCAUCUAUAAGUACUGCCAAUUAGGAAACAAAAAACAAAUUAUAGUUGGAGAGAGCUACCCUGCAGUAAAGCUUGAAUUUAGUGUAGUAGAGACUGUCUGCCAUAACUAUUAUAGCAUGCUGCCGCUUCAUGGAGAACCACUGCAAAUCACAUUUGAAUCAAACUUAGUUAUAUGCAAGAAAUAUUUAAAAAGGUCUCUACUUUUAUUUUAUUUUAUUUAUUUAUUUAUUUUUUUUGUGUUUCUGAUCAGAAGACCAUAUUCAAUGACAAAAACCUAGUUGUAGUCAAAUGUUGUCUUUUUAUAAUAUUGUAAAAUGGAGAUACCACACAUAGCAAAUCAUUCAGAAAGAGAGAGCAUAGGGUAAAAAAUGAUUCAGACUAGUAUCCACCUAUCAAUAAUUCAAAAAUAUAAGGGCAAACUGGAAUCUUGUAACCAAGAAGCUCAAUAUUAAAACUGGUAUUUAAUAUGAAACAAGAACAAUUAUUUUCCAAUAGAAAUUAAAAGGCAUAACAGGAUUAAUUAUUGGGACAACAAGAUUAUGGAAAUACCCUCUCAUGGGCAAAUCAAUCCAUCUAGACUUGCAAAUCCAGUAACCCACUUACUACAAAUAAUCACCAAAACAUUGAUAAAUGUACAGUUUCUCACAAUAGCAGACUCGGACCAUGACUCAAAAUGUUACAUCGAUGAUGGCAUGGGUGUCAAAUGUCAAAGUACCUAUGGCUGUUUGAUGCAUUGACCUCCAAAGUCCAUGGAGGAUAAGAGAACUAUAGAAAAAUACUCUAUUAAAUUGUAUUACUCACUCGACAGAUUUCAAAGUAAGAACUUAAGUUCUAAAACCCGUAAAAAUGAAAAAGAACAGAAUAAAAGUGUUAGCGCUUAGUAUGCAUCUUGUCAUUAUAUUCACCCAUGUGUAUAACAUUUUACUAGACAUACAUGCCUAAUGCCCAAAAAUUAACACAUCUAAGGGUUAGACCCCCCGAGCCUGUUUCCUUUUCUUCUUGUUUUCCUUUUUCUUCUCUAGUGUCCUGAUACAAACUGCUUGGUACUUACCCAAUUUCCAUGAUAAAUAACUCCAAUUUGAAAAUUUUCCAGGAUCCAUAGUAACCCUAUGACAUUUUCACCCUAUCUAAAUAUACUAUCCUAAUACAUCAUAUUAUCCAAGCUUUUUAAGUCACUAUCAUGGGAUACAUGGCAUGACAGAUGGUAGAUUGCAAAAGUAGUUGAUGAAUAAUGAUGAAAAAAAUGAAAGUUUUCAACAUGGAAAAAAAAAAAAACUGUUGCGCAAAUAAUUCAGGUGUAUGCACAAGAAGUUUGAUAAAUUUAAAAUGUAAGAUUAUCGGUGGUCAUAAGAGGAAACUUUUGUGAACAUUAAGAAUUUUGCCAAAAAUUCACUUCACGCUUUUGAAAAUGCCACUAUAGUCCUGUUUAUAAAAUGAGAUUAGAAAAGAAAAGGAACACGACAUGCACAAGUACUACAACAAUAGGUUUCCCAAGUCAUAUAUAGCGCAACAUUUAUGUUCAUUAACGUUUAAGUAUAUAAAGAUGUUCAGCCAAACAUCAGUGGACAAUAUUAAAUAGUAUUACAAUACCUACAUAUUAGAGUUUUUCAGUGGGUCAGUUAUUCUUGCCCUGAUUUGAGCAGCUAUAAUGAAGAAGCUCUAACUAGUGAGAGUACAAUUGCUUGUCAUGGUUUGAUGUUGGCAAUCCAGGAAGUCAACCCCCACUAUUCUAACCAAAAAGCUAAAAAAUUGUGCUGCAUAAGCAUAUAGUACUAUUUCUGAUAGUAAGAAGAUUAGAUUUGCUUUGCAAAAUUGACUCACAGAUUCCAUGGAAAGACAUGCACGCUUCCUUGCUACAUGUAACUAUAUGCAUACUUCGAAAUUGGAACUAAAGUUAAUAUUUUGAGAAAACUACCAUGAUUAGUGGGUUCUGAGAAUGAUUGAUGACUGCUUCAAGGCAAUCAAUUUGCUGAAACACAUAAAAACCUCUAAUCAUGAGAAUGGUUUUAUCAAAGCAAUGUAAGCCAUUCAUGCACAACAUUAACACUUAAAAGAUCCAGAUUAUUGACUGUUGCCAAUAUUAUGAGAAAAGAAUGAUAAGUUGACAGAGAAGAGAGUUUCUAUUGUUGAGUAUUUGGAUUUACAUGCUAUGCUUCCAUGUAAUCAACAAGUUUGAUAAAGCAUGGAAUGAACUUUUAGCAACCAUUCAGAAACCUUGUUUCCAAAUUAACAUACCAAACCUUUUAAAGAUAGAUGGAUAAGCUCUACAUGCAGAAAUGAUUGCAAGAACAUACCUGUGCACCCUUCCUGAAGUCCUUAACUUCAACUUCAGGCAUCAUAUGAUCUGAAUACCUGCCAUUUCCAUGUGGACCAGGAUCUUCAAAACUGUAGAUAGAGAGAGAGUAUCAAUAAAAAGGAAAAAAAUAAUUUAAUCUUCUGAUGCAUGUGUAAGUUAUCACAUAUCAUGUUAUACAGAAGCUUUAGUCUUAAUAUAAAAAAUUAACUGUAAACAGUUUAGUCUACAGUUUUGGAACUUUGUCCACUAUCAGUGCAAAAGGGAGGAAGAGGGGGGAGAGAGAAAGGUUCCAUUCAUAAAGCAUUAGCUCACCAGUCAAUAUAACUGAUGUUUGUAAACAUCAGAUAGUUAUACACAUAAUCAAAGUUAUGCAGGGGGACACAACUGCAAAAAAAUAAAAAUGAAAAAUGAAAAAAGUUAAAACUUGUUGAUUCAGCAUCAAGUGCAAUUCUGCAUGUAGGAAGUGGUAGAGAAAUCUGAUAACCCAAUCACCUAUCAGAUAGCAGGACAAAGUGCUGGUUGUUGGGGUCUUCUAGAGCAUGUCCUAAAAGUCUCUUCUCUGCAUCAACCAUGGAAAUUUUGCCCCAAAUCACCUGCAAUAAUGCCACACAUGAUAGUUUUAUUUAUAAAGAGAAAAUAUGGCAACAGUAGCACAUAUUCCAAAUGUGAUGUUUUUAUUUUUGUGGGGAAAUUUUUUUGGCUAAGAGCAUUCUUUAAAAAAUUGUACCCUAAUGAGAGGCUUUUAUUUUAAUAGAGAAAGCCCUCAGAGGGGUCUGUAAGAUGUAAUAGCAUUGCCUGAUCUUUUAGAAAUAUAAAUUAGCCUCCAUGAAGUUAGAUAUCUUAAAAUUUAUUUCCCUCCAUUUACUCUCCCAUACAUUAAAAUGAUGGAAAGGAAAGAUCUUAACCAUAUAUACAUUUAUUAAAACCUUCAAAAUAUUGUUGAAGGAAUAUAUAUAUAUAUAUAUAUAUAUACACAUAUAUUUAGUUAUUUAUUUAUAAUGUUUAUAUAUUCAAAUUUUGCCUUAGAAAAUAAAAGUCCUAUGCUAUUGCUAAGCUGUAUUCUACAAAAUCUAAGGGUAAAAUAAUCUAAUAUGUUGAUUUUCAAUAACAUUCCUACAAUGAAAAAAAAAAAAAAAUCAGGAUGAAAUGACAAAAAGGGCCAAAGAGGUUAGCCUUAGCGCAAAAUUACCAGCAAAGGUUCAUGUAAAUUUAAUCUUAGAACAUUAUAGCAACACCAAUUGUGAACCACAAAUAAUAAAUAUCAUCUACAAGAGAUGGAUACAAUUAAAAUUUUUCUGUGAGCACAUGUAUAGACAGCAAGUGACAAAUCAGCAUAACCUGCAGACCCUGGAAUCUUUAGAAAGCAUUCAUAUAUGAUGCAGAUGAUUCUUU
Molecule: long non-coding RNA, 88153 nt
Filed under: Vitis vinifera (wine grape)
Lineage: Eukaryota; Viridiplantae; Streptophyta; Magnoliopsida; Vitales; Vitaceae
Description: long non-coding RNA (VVIN_LNC000923)
Rfam family: tRNA (bases 61716-61787)
Source: RNAcentral